UGGCCCAAAGAUAGCUUGCACUUGGACAUCCUUUAGCAAGUAUAUGGCUGCACAUACACAAUCAGACUUAUAAGUAAUUGUCUGAACAUCUCUUUCAAAAUAGAAAAACUAAAGGGAAAAGUAAUAUCUUAGAGAAAAAGUGAAUCUUUUGAAGCAAAGAGAGAGAGAUAAUGCUAGUUUAACAUAGGUAAAGCUUAGAGCUGAAUUUUACCAGCUGAUGCUGCUUCAACAUCAUCUUUCUUUGAAUCCCUGAUAUGAGGAACUAUCCUUAUGGCACCGCGACUAGUGUUGGCAUGAUAAUCCGCAAGAGCUAGUAAGAUAGAUAUGUGCAUUACUUUUCCUACUUCUGUUUCCAGAUCAAGAAUUAUUCCCACAUCCAUCUUUACAGCACUAGUGUUAUUAUCUUCACCUCUUAUUCCAAUUACAUAGUGGCAAAAACCAAUGAUGGAAACAAGUUGAAUGAAGAUAAUUAGGGAUUUGCAUCUUGGAUUAUGCAUUUGAAAAACUCUAGUAGACAGUAAUAUGAGAGCUGGACAAGAAGCAGUUGUGGUUGUGCAAGAUAUAUAACUAUAACUUUUCUAUAAUUAAAAUAAAACCAUACCUCAUAACUGCAGAAAGAAAAGUCAAAGUUUUUCAAGAAUAACAAAUGGUUUAAAAUAUUACUUCUAGUUUGAUUCUUAAAGAAAGAGGACUUUUCACACUUGUUAGACCACAAGCUAGUAAAGNNNNNNNNNNNNNNNNNNNNNNNNNNNNNNNNNNNNNNNNNNNNNNNNNNNNNNNNNNNNNNNNNNNNNNNNNNNNNNNNNNNNNNNNNNNNNNNNNNNNNNNNNNNNNNNNNNNNNAUUCAUCUUCAGUUUAUGCGAAAUGCCAUCCUUCUCUGUCCAGAAUCCAACGACUUUCUCUCCUUUCCCGAUUAUAUUCACAAUCUGAUAUGGGUACGGCUGCAGUUCUCUAUCAAUGAUACGGAAAUCACCACUUAGUCCUGGUUUUAGCUCUGUGUUUUGCAUAGAGUCAAUGAGCAGAGAUCCCACUUCUGAGGUUCUAAGUGCAUCUAGGUCUGUUAAGUUCUCUCUAGUGUCUGGUUUCUUUAAUUUUGGGAUAGCAGUAGUGCCCACUUUCUCUACUGCUUCUGCUAAUAAGGUGAUGCUAUCAUAUGCCCAUAGCCCGAAAACAUUGAGUUCUACUUGGUCCAUGUCUGGAUACUCUUGACGAAAUCUCUUUCUCCAUCUCUUGGUGAACAUGUCAAGCUCAUUUGAUCUUGGAACAUAAGAUUUUACACCCAGAACACCUUGCAUUGAUGACUCAAUUACUGAAGUAUCUACCAGGUCCAGAAGACUCGUCAGCACAUCAGUGAUGAUCCAUGCAUAUCCACUGUUCAUCAUCCCGGCUUCUUUGGCCUUGAGGAAAAGGCGGGAGGCAAGAUUUUCUUGCAAGUGCACAAUGAACACCCUGGUCUGCAUUGUCUUCAACUUGUAUAGCUCCCUGAGGAUUUGAUCAUCAUUGGCUGAAGGAGAAAUACCACUUCUAUAGGAGACUAAAGUAUUGAUUUCCAGCAAGGCAUCAGUCAAAUAUGGAAGUAUCCCGGUUCCAUAGGGGCUUUCCUCAUAGAUUACUACAACCUCCCUCCAAUUAUAGUUUUUAACAAUUGCUGCAAUGGCUUUAGUCUGACUGGAAGAAGGAAGUGCUCCUCUGAUGAAGAAGGGAUUUUCCUUGACUGAAAGUGAAGGACUAGUUGCUGGAGAUAUUAUAGGAACUCUAACUCUGUUCCCCAAGUCGAUCACAAAAUCAGUUUGUGUAGACAUUUGUGGCCCAAAGAUAGCUUGCACUUGGACAUCCUUUAGCAAGUAUAUGGCUGCACAUACACAAUCAGACUUAUAAGUAAUUGUCUGAACAUCUCUUUCAAAAUAGAAAAACUAAAGGGAAAAGUAAUAUCUUAGAGAAAAAGUGAAUCUUUUGAAGCAAAGAGAGAGAGAUAAUGCUAGUUUAACAUAGGUAAAGCUUAGAGCUGAAUUUUACCAGCUGAUGCUGCUUCAACAUCAUCUUUCUUUGAAUCCCUGAUAUGAGGAACUAUCCUUAUGGCACCGCGACUAGUGUUGGCAUGAUAAUCCGCAAGAGCUAGUAAGAUAGAUAUGUGCAUUACUUUUCCCACAUCUGUUUCCAGAUCAAGAAUUAUGCCCACAUCCACCUUUACAGCACUAGUGUUAUUAUCUUCACCUCUUAUUCCAAUUACAUAGUGGCAAAAGCUAAUGAUGGAAACAAGUUGAAUGAAAAUAAUUAGGAAUCUGCAUCUUGGAUUAUGCAUUUGAAAAACUCUAGUAGACAGUAAUAUGAGAGCUGGACAAGAAGCAGUUGUGGUUGUGCAAGAUAUAUAACUAUAACUUUUCUAUAAUUAAAAUAAAACCAUACCUCAUAACUGCAGAAAGAAAAGUCAAAGUUUUUCAAGAAUAACAAAUGGUUUAAAAUAUUACUUCUAGUUUGAUUCUUAAAGAAAGAGGACUUUUCACGCUUGUUAGACCACAAGCUAGUAAAGCCUCCUCUUCAGUUUUGACCAAAUCAAUAAAUGUCUAAAUGAACAUAGUGACAAAAUUGAUUGGUACGCAUUCUCCCAAUUAUAUAUAACCUAUGACGUUUGUGUAUUUAUUUGAUGACUAUCUAGAGUCUAUUAAAAGGACUUCCCACAUUUUGGCUAAGUCAUGCAUGGUGAAAGUUGAGAGCUAGCUCAGAUACAAAUAAGUAGAAGAGACCAUUGUUUCUAUGACUUGGAAAAGAGUAGCUAUGACUAGUAAUCUUUAGCUUACACGGUUUCAGUUUAGAAUUGGUCAGUAGUAUUAACUUGCUUGCAUUUUUAUUUUAUUUUAAGAUGAGUGGAACUUUUUUUUUUUUUGGCUUUUUCUAAUUGUUAAUCUUAUAUAUUUUUUAAAUUUAUUUGUGAAAUUUGCAUAAAUAGCAAUCUUUUUUAUUUUAAGAUGAGUGGAACUUCUCUUCUUUUUUUUUUUUUGCUUUUUCUAAUUGUUGAUCUUAUAUUUUUUUAAUUAAUUUUUAUUUGUGAGGUUUGCAUAAAUAGCCGAAGAGGUUCAAACCCACAACUCUAGCAUGGGAAAGCAUUCCCAAGACCCCUUCCUUACCACUAAGCCAUCAAUUAGUUUUGUUAAGGGGUUCACAAGUUAAAAUACAUAUAUAUUUAUUUAAUUUUUUAAUACAAGUAGAGGGUUUAUGGAAAAGCUAUUGGGUUCGCCCGAACCCCCACUAAGAUAGGCAUAAAAGUAUCAAUACAUUUAUUUUUAUGAAGGUAAAUACCAUUAGAUGUAACUUUUCAAGAAUGAAAACAUGUAUUAAAACAAAACUGAAAAGAGUAAUAACAUAAGUGAGAAAAAAGACAAGAAAUGUAGAGAGACAAGAGAGAGUUUUCUUAUUCUUCCAAGUAUAAUCAAGUGUUUUUCAAAUCUUCAAGUGCAUAACACAAUCUCAAGACCUCUAUUUAUAUUGUUAUAAAAAGGCAUACAAAGAUAUAACAAUAACCAUGAUAUUAAUUUUUGAGAAUGUAGGGAAGAUCAAGGGAUAACAAUAAACAUGAUAUUAAUUUUUGAGAAUGUAGGGAAGAUCAAGGGGUGUAGAAGAUAAAUGAGGAGAUGGUGAAGGUGCGAGUAUUAUUACAUAUAAUGGUGAAAUUACACCUUGAAGUUAUGGACAUCCACAUUAAUAUAAUAUAUUUACAACAAAACAUUAAUUACAUAUAAAUUAUAACUAAAUUAAAAAUGAUGAGAAAAACAUAAAAAUGCCCCCAAAAAAGGAGAAAAAAAUUAAAUAUGAAUAGAGAUCAUAGAGAGGUGUCACGUCACUUUGUCUAUAUCUAGCUUUAUUUUAUAUAUAUAAGUAAGAAUAGAGGUCAUAGCCUAUAUCUAGCUUUAUUAUAUAUAUAGAUUUUUCUUCAAUUUUUGUUGGUUUUCUCUUUUUAAAUUUAAUUAUGUAAUACGUAAUAAUAAAAAAAAAACAAGAGCCUUAUUUUCCCCCAAUUUUCAUUGGUUUUUUCUUUUUAAAAUUUAUUUAUGUAAAUAUAUUCUUUUUAAAAUUUAUUUAUGUAAUUAUUAUUUUUUUGGAAUAUUUUUAAUAGCUCAAAAAAAAUUAAUACAAUUGAAUGAAAAGAGAAAAUCGGGUUAUUUUAAUCAAAAUUGAACAAUUUGAGUUGAUUUGGGGCUUUCCGUCAAAAGAGGGGUAUAUAUAUGGUGAAAUUAGUAACGGUAGGGAAAAAACUAACUUCACUUUAACGGUAAGGGCAUAGUCAACCAAUAAAACAAAAUUAAGGGGUGUUUUUGACCCUUUUCCCUAAUCUUUUUCAUAGGUAGCAGUGGAUACUGGAUACAUUUGUUAUAGUCAUAUACUCAAUAAUAUAGUAAUUUUUGUUUAUAUUUUUUAUGAACUGAAAUUGCAAGAAUUAUCAUUUAAUAAGCGAGUUUUCAAUUUUUGUUCUUCAACGGUCGAAUUUAUAUCUAGUAAAAUAUAUAUUCUGUAAAGGAGAAAAGUCAUGUAAGGCAUAAGUUGCGGAUAUUAUAAUGCAAGUAUGUAUAUAUAUAUAUCAGAAAAUAAUUUAUCUUGAACACAAAAAUUAAAAAUUAGCACAAAAUAAGGACAAAAGUGCAAUAUAUGUAUAUAUAUGUGUUAUCAGAAAGCUAUUUAUCUUGAACACAAAAAUUAAAAAUUAGCACAAAAUAAGGACAUAAGUGCAAUAUAUGUAUAUAUAUGUGUUAUCAGAAAGUUAUUUAUCUCGAACACAAAAACUAAAAAUUAGCACAAAAUAAGGUCAAAAGUGCAAAAAUUUUAUACUUUCGCUCUCCCGACUCAAGCUAAUACGUUAAAAAUUAAUGGGAAAAUUAUACAUAAUAGUAAAUAUUUAGCCUGUAUUAGGUGAUAUAGCUAUAGUUUUAGAAAAUUGUAAUUCGCGGCUAUAAUUUUUUCAAUUCUUGCUAUUGACCUGAUUUGUAUAAUUCGCAUAAUUUGUAUAAAUCUAGAAUUUGUAUAAUUCGGUUCCUAAUAGUAAAAAUCUAGAAUUGUGUAUAUGUUUACCCUAGUUAUUUGUAUACGAUUUAUUAUUUAUAAUAAAUUACCUUGUUUGUAUAUCGACAAGCGAAAUAUAUAAAUGGAGUUCUGAAAAAUUCAUAAAUGUAUAAAUACAUAAUUUGUAUAUAUUUAUCCUAUUGGUAUAUUCACAAGCGAAAUAUACAAACGUGCAGAAAUAUACAAACCACAGCCUCCAUAUCAAACAGAACUAUAGCUAUGGAGCGCAGUUAUUAGAGCUUUAUUAUGUUUGCUAUUUCUAAAAUUUUCUCAAAAUUAAAAUAGACUAUGUUUUUCGGUCUUAUUUCAAUAGGCUCAUAUGGUAUAUAAUUUGAAAGCCUAGGUUUUUUUUGUUUUUUUAUAUCAAUAUUCUUUCAACUUAGCCGAUUGACAAUUAAUUAAAUCGAUGACAAAAAUAUUGAUUUCGUAAAUUUGAGUGAUGAAAAUCAAAUUAGAAAAGUAACUAACAAAUGGAAUAUUUUAUGUUAGUGAAUGAAUGAAAUUAUAGGCCUCUUAAUUACAAGAUUUAGAUAAUCUUCUUUCUUUUGAAUUAAUUUUUGAGGUGUGAAUUAUACUCAAAAUAUAAUUUAACAUGACAUUAAAGACAAACCUGAUGUGGGCUCCCAGGAAACCAAACAAUUGCGGAGGUGGAAAUUAUUUUCUAUUCAUGAAUGUGAGCAUGUGACACACCGAAUUGGAUCAUUAUUAUAAUGCAAGUAUGUAUAUAUAUAUAUCAGAAAAUAAUUUAUCUUGAACACAAAAAUUAAAAAUUAGCACAAAAUAAGGACAUAAGUGCAAUAUAUGUAUAUAUAUGUGUUAUCAGAAAGUUAUUUAUCUCGAACACAAAAACUAAAAAUUAGCACAAAAUAAGGUCAAAAGUGCAAAAAUUUUAUACUUUCGCUCUCCCGACUCAAGCUAAUACGUUAAAAAUUAAUGGGAAAAUUAUACAUAAUAGUAAAUAUUUAGCCUGUAUUAGGUGAUAUAGCUAUAGUUUUAGAAAAUUGUAAUUCGCGGCUAUAAUUUUUUCAAUUCUUGCUAUUGACCUGAUUUGUAUAAUUCGCAUAAUUUGUAUAAAUCUAGAAUUUGUAUAAUUCGGUUCCUAAUAGUAAAAAUCUAGAAUUGUGUAUAUGUUUACCCUAGUUAUUUGUAUACGAUUUAUUAUUUAUAAUAAAUUACCUUGUUUGUAUAUUGACAAGCGAAAUAUAUAAAUGGAGUUCUGAAAAAUUCAUAAAUGUAUAAUACAUAAUUUGUAUAUAUUUAUCCUAUUGGUAUAUUCACAAGCGAAAUAUACAAACGUGCAGAAAUAUACAAACCACAGCCUCCAUAUCAAACAGAACUAUAGCUAUGGAGCGCAGUUAUUAGAGCUUUAUUAUGUUUGCUAUUUCUAAAAUUUUCUCAAAAUUAAAAUAGACUAUGUUUUUCGGUCUUAUUUCAAUAGGCUCAUAUGGUAUAUAAUUUGAAAGCUUAGGUUUUUUUGUUUUUUUAUAUCAAUAUUCUUUCAACUUAGCCGAUUGACAAUUAAUUAAAUCGAUGACAAAAAUAUUGAUUUCGUAAAUUUGAGUGAUGAAAAUCAAAUUAGAAAAGUAACUAACAAAUGGAAUAUUUUAUGUUAGUGAAUGAAUGAAAUUAUAGGCCUCUUAAUUACAAGAUUUAGAUAAUCUUCUUUCUUUUGAAUUAAUUUUUGAGGUGUGAAUUAUACUCAAAAUAUAAUUUAACAUGACAUUAAAGACAAACCUGAUGUGGGCUCCCAGGAAACCAAACAAUUGCGGAGGUGGAAAUUAUUUUCUAUUCAUGAAUGUGAGCAUGUGACACACCGAAUUGGAUCAUGAAAUCUCAUAUAAAGAAUUUGGAUUUGUACGGUAUAUAUGAGGAUAAUAAUGAAAGAAAUGUCUCACAUCAAUGAUAAAUAAAAUCCUAAGCUUCGUUGUUCAACAAGUGAAUUCAAAUUUUUAGAUUCUUUAAUAUCUUGAUGUUAAACUAAAAAAUAUUGGUUUAUAAUUACUCUUAAUUAUUUAAUUUUUUGUCGGUUUGCUUCACGGGUGUGAUUAGCAAGGGAUAAUCAUUCAUUUUGUGGCAUGUAUAAUUAAUAAUUACUAGUGUAUUUGUCCGCGCUUUGCGUGUGUAUAAAAAAAUAUUAAAUAUAUUUUUAAAUAAUUAAUGUUAUUAUUUGAUAAAUAUUCUAAUAAAUAAUAUAAUAAAAGGGAGAAACACAAAUUAAGUUACGAUUUUGAUAUUAUCUAUUCAGAAAAAUUGUUAAAAAAGUUUCAUGCUACAGUUUCAAUUUAAAAUUGCUGAUAAAAAGAUGAAAAUAUAAAAUUGAUAUGAAAAGCUUUAGUUAAAUAAACAAUCUAAUUAUCAUAGUUUCAUACUAAAUUUCAUGAUUUUAUAGCAAUAUUAUUGAUUCAACCAUUAAUAUUAAAUCUACUUUAUCGUAAAUUAUGUGACUUUCUUUUUUUGUAUAAAUGACUAUAUAAUAGAAAUAAGAAAAUCAAAAUAUAUUUGUGCUAAAUCAUCGUGAGGGAAAAAAUAUUUGAAUUAUAUUCGAACAUAGUUAUACACAAAAUUCAAAAGUUAGAGAUUUUUUUUCGAUAUCCGAUGCUCAUAGUGACACUCAUUUGAUACAUAUUUGUGUCGCAUAAUGAUAUCCGAUGCACGUAGUGACACUCAUUUGAUACAUAUUUGUGUCGCAUAAGAUCCAUUAAUAUUUUAAUUUAUAUUUAAACUUUCAUUCUUAUAGUGUGCAUUGUGAAAAGAGAUACUUAAGUUGCUACAGUGAAACAUUACCGUUGAGGUUAUACUUUUACAAUAAAAAUUAAAUUAAAUUAAACACAUAAUUUUGUCGUAUUAAGAUUAUCAGAUAGUGAUGAAGAAAUAAUUUUUUUACAAAAGAUAUGAGUAUGUAGUGUUCAAGAUGUAGAAAAAGUAUCAAGAGUUAGAUAAAUUUUUUCAAUUUAUAUAUAUAUGUGGGACAAUAAAAGUUUAACAACAUCAAAAUAAUUAUUCCUAUUAUUACAAUUUUAUUGUUGUAAUUAUUAUAAAUAAAUUGGAGCAAUAACUCUCCAAAAGAUAACUCCAUUUUUUGAUGUGGGAAAAAUAAAAUAUUUUUUUUACUUUCAAUAAUAAUAAAUUUAAACACAAAUUUGUUAUUAAAGGAAUUAAAUGAUGAAAUUUAAAAAAUUUCUUGAUAAAUAAGAGAGUUGAAUAAAUUAUUUUUUAGUAUAUAUAUACACACACUUGAUUAUUUUUAGGGAAAAGGGUCAAAAAUAUUCUCAAUUUUAGUUUAUUAGUUAAAUAUACCCCUAUCGUUGAAACAAAGUUAUUCAUACCAUCACCGUUACUAAUUUCACCAUUUAUACCCCUCAAUUUACGGAAAUUCCUAAAUCAAACAAAAUUGACCCGAUUUCUUAAAAAAUGACUCAUUUUCCAUUUUAAACCUAUGACCGACCCAUCUAUCUAUCUUAAACCCAAAAGAAUUUAACCCAUUUUCUAUACCCAUUCUAAAAAGAAAAUUCAUUUGGAGCUACUUGGGAGAAUGAAUUAUAGGUGACAAAAAAGUGUUGAAAUGUAAAAAGAGUGACUCUAGUUUUAAUUAUUAAGUGUACGUGACAAAUUUUUAAUUAAUUUUUAAAAAUAAUUAUAUAGGUCCUCAAGUUUUUAUUUUUACACUUUCACCCAAAUUUAAGUAAACCCCUAAUUUCUAAAAUAGGAAAACCCCCAAAUCAGUUCUUUUUUGUUCUCUCCCAACGUCCCGCUCUUUUCACAUUUUUUUUGCUUCUAAUCUUCAUCACUAGGCGUGACCUGACUUCAAAGACAUUGUCGAGCAGCACCUAAACACACAAAAAUCGAUCCGAUCUAAGCACUUUUAGACGAGUAUGAUGACUCUACUAAUGGAGGAAAGAGAAGAAGGAGAGUGGCAUCGUGGUCGGCCAUGGCCGUUUCCGAAGCAAACUGUCGUCGCCGGAGCUCGAAGCAGACAAUUGGAGAGAAUCAAAGACAUAGAUUUUACCCAAAUAAUUAUAACAAAAAAAAUUAAACCAAUAAAAGAAAAUUCACAACCCCACCCCCUGUAAUGUCUUCCUCAAAGAUCCUACUCAUUUGCAGAAACAUCUACACACCCCAUCCUUCCCUCUAAUUUUUUUCUCCAAACUCUCCAAUUCCUUUUAGUGCGCACACACCUACACACUAUUUCUUUUUUCAUCAUUUUAGUGUAGUAUCUUUAUUCACUAUUAUUAGAAUUUAACUUUGUAAGGGAAUUGGUGAGAUAGGUAAAUGUGCUUCUCACAAAGAUGUCUGCUUUUUGCAGUCAUGCGAAGAGGCAGCGAUGAUGAUGUUCACUUUUUGAGCUAGCUAACUUUGGAAUCUGGAGAAAAAUAAUUUAAAAGGAAGAAUAAAAAAAGUUUGUAGAAAUGGUGGCUAAAGGGUAAGGAAAAUGAGUUAAAUUAUUUUGGGUUUAAGAUAGAUAGAUGGGUCAGGCAUGGGUUUAAAAUGGGAAAUAGGUCAUUUUUUAAUAAAUCGGGUCAAUUUUAUUUGAUUUGGGGAUUUCUGUCAAUUGAGGGGUAUAAACGGUGAAAUUAAUAACGGUGAGGGUAUAAAUAACUUUGUUUUAACGGUAUGGGUAUAUUCAACUAAUAAACUAAAAUUGAGGGGUAUUUUUGACCCUUUUCCCAUAUUUUUAUAAUGCCUUUAUUUAUAGGAUAACAAUAUAAAAUAUCAAAUGAUAUCAUGAACAUGACUAUUAAUAUGAUUUAAGAGAUAUGAUCAAGUCAUGAAAGUAAGGAAAAUAAAGACAAUUAAAUAUCAAAUGAUAUUAUGAACAUAAUUAUUAAUAUAAUUUAGGAGUUAUGAUCAUCAAAAGUCAUGAAAAUAAAAACAAUUAAAAUUUUCUAUUAAAAAAUAUAAAUAAAUGAAGGAAUAUAAUUGACAUAUUCAUUUUUGUACAACAAUAAGAUAUAUAUAAAUAAGAAAAAUUAUCAAAAAAUGAGAAAAAAAGAAGAUAAAUAUGAUUCUUGGCCAAAAAAAUGUGUCACGUCACUUUUCUUUUAUCUAGAUAAUUUAUAUGUUGGUAAAGAAAGUAGAUUGAGAGAGAAAAACAAUUUUACUAAGUCGUUUAUAUCCUAAUCAAGUCUAAAAAUACCCCUCAUUCAUCUAUUGAGCUAAAAAUACCCCUCCAUCCACCUUUUUGGUCCAUCUCUACCCCUUAAAAACUAACAACUACUUUUUAAAAAUUAUUAUUAUUAUUAUUUGUUACGUGUCAUUUUCUUAUUGGAUAAUUAAAUCUCAACCCAUUUAAUUUUCCCCUACCCACCCAUUGUAGUGAACAUGAUCAAACCCAAUUAGAAGACCCAUUAAAAAUAAUUGAUUGAAACUUUCUCCCCUAACCCCAAGCCUCUUUCUUCUUCCCUCUUUUCUUAUUCAAAAAUUUCAAGAUAAUAUUCAAUCAAAUAAUACAAUUUCCGCUGCAAUACUAACUUGAAGUUGAAGGAUUCAAGGAGUAUUGAUUUUUGCAGUCUUCUUUCCAUCACGUAAAAAAAACUACACCAAAAUCUAUCAAAAUUGCACCUGAGCUAUAACAAAACAGAAGCAAACCUGCACCUAUAUUAUACCACAAACUAAAUCAAAACUGUAAAGAAACAGAGGCCAAAAGGCAAUGAAAGUGCACCAUAAUGAGAUUAAAAACUGGACCAAAAUUUGAUGAUAAACAGCACCAAAGCUGGUCCAAAAACGAAAAUAAAAGUGGUUCAAAUUUACUUUAUUAACGAUGGAAUACAUUACAAUGAAAUUUACGAAUUAUUCCAACUCCUUAAACGUAAGAAUAUUAAUCAAACUAAACACAAUUUCACUAUCAUACCAACAAUAAUAGUAAUUAUAAUUAAGAACAUUAUACUAACUAGACACCAUCAACAAAUUUUCAUAUCAUACACUUAUCUAGAUUGCAUUGGACAUUGUAUCAUUUGAUUGAAAGUAGUCUAGAAAUAUUUUGAAUAAGAAAAGAGGGAAGAAGAAAGAGGCUUGGGGUUAGGGGAGAAAGAUUCAAUCAAUUUAUUUUUUAAUGGGUCUUCUAAUUGGGUUUGGGUCAUGUUCACUACAAUGGGUGGGUAGGGGAAAAUUAAAUGGGUUGAGAUUUAAUUUAUCCAAUAGGAAAAUGACAUGUAACAAAUAAUAAUAAUAAUUUUUUAAAAAAAAGUGAUUGUUAGUUUUAAGGGUAAAGAUGGACCAAAAAAGUGGAUGGAGGGGUAUUUUUUAGCCCAAUAGAUGAAUGAGGUAUAUUUUGUCGAGGGGGUUCGGGUGAACACUCUCCCUCCCUUGAUUUGCUCAUUGAUACUAUUAUUGUUAGUGCAAGAGGAAACUGCUAGGGAAGUUGCCUAUGAUCUAUGUUGGAGCAGAUGGGAUAUAAGAUUUUGAUUUGAUGGGUUCAAUUUUUAGAUUCUCAUCAUUGAGCCCGUUAUACUUUGAAAUUAUGGUGGGUUCAUGAUAUUAUAUUAUUAAUUAAAAUUUUAGUGAUUUUUCACAUAUACUUUUAUGAUCUGUGUCAAAAAUGCAAAGCUUAUACUUAUAUUCGCCAUCCGCCCUGUGUAACUGAACAUAUUACUGUUUAUCUUCCAUGUAGCAGUGAUCCUAAAACCUUUCCUUAUNNNNNNNNNNNNNNNNNNNNNNNNNNNNNNNNNNNNNNNNNNNNNNNNNNNNNNNNNNNNNNNNNNNNNNNNNNNNNNNNNNNNNNNNNNNNNNNNNNNNGUUAUUCAGCUGAAGAGGUUAGUUUUACCUUAGAAUUGAUCUUGUGAACAAGAUCAUCAUAGUUUUGAGAAGUUGGGCUAUGUGCUAUUGGAAAUGGAAUAAAUUCGUAAGGGACAUCAUAUUUCAAAGAUAAGAUGACUUCUUUGAAGACAUCUGGCCCUAAACCAGUUGUAAUUACUGCUUGUGUCGUUGGAUCUCUUUCCACUUUAAUGAAUUGCUCCAGCCCUCCUUUGUCUGGAACUCCAACCCUUAACUUCUUCCCACUUGUGGGUAUUUCCCAGCCUCUCGGAACAAUAGUAGAUUCACCAGGCCAAAUGAUGACCCCUAGUUGCUUAUUAUUAGUUUUAGCUGUUUUACCAUUCAUCUUCAGUUUAUGCGAAAUGCCAUCCUUCUCUGUCCAGAAUCCAACGACUUUCUCUCCUUUCCCGAUUAUAUUCACAAUCUGAUAUGGGUACGGCUGCAGUUCUCUAUCAAUGAUACGGAAAUCACCACUUAGUCCUGGUUUUAGCUCUGUGUUUUGCAUAGAGUCAAUGAGCAGAGAUCCCACUUCUGAGGUUCUAAGUGCAUCUAGGUCUGUUAAGUUCUCUCUAGUGUCUGGUUUCUUUAAUUUUGGGAUAGCAGUAGUGCCCACUUUCUCUACUGCUUCUGCUAAUAAGGUGAUGCUAUCAUAUGCCCAUAGCCCGAAAACAUUGAGUUCUACUUGGUCCAUGUCUGGAUACUCUUGACGAAAUCUCUUUCUCCAUCUCUUGGUGAACAUGUCAAGCUCAUUUGAUCUUGUAACAUAAGAUUUUACACCCAGAACACCUUGCAUUGAUGACUCAAUUACUGAAGUAUCUACCAGGUUCCAUAGGGGCUUUCCUCAUAGAUUACUACAACCUCCCUCCAAUUAUAGUUUUUAACAAUUGCUGCAAUGGCUUUAGUCUGACUGGAAGAAGGAAGUGCUCCUCUGAUGAAGAAGGGAUUUUCCUUGACUGUAAGUAAAGGACUUGUUGCUGGAGAAAUUAUAGGGACUUUUACUCUGUUCCCUAAGUCGAUCACAAAAUCAGUUUGAGUAGACAUUUGUGGCCCAAAGAUAGCUUGCACUUGGACAUCCUUUAGCAAGUAUAUGGCUGCACAUACACAAUCAGACUUAUAAGUAAUUGUCUGAACAUCUNNNNNNNNNNNNNAAAUUUAUUUGUGAAAUUUGCAUAAAUAGCAAUCUUUUUUAUUUUAAGAUGAGUGGAACUUUUUUUUUUUUUGGCUUUUUCUAAUUGUUAAUCUUAUAUAUUUUUUAAAUUUAUUUGUGAAAUUUGCAUAAAUAGCAAUCUUUUUUAUUUUAAGAUGAGUGGAACUUUUUUUUUUUUUGGCUUUUUCUAAUUGUUAAUCUUAUAUAUUUUUUAAAUUUAUUUGUGAAAUUUGCAUAAAUAGCAAUCUUUUUUAUUUUAAGAUGAGUGGAACUUCUUCUUUUUUUUUUUGCCUUUUCUAAUUGUUAAUCUUAUAUAUUUUUUAAUUUAUUUGUGAAAUUUGCAUAAAUAGCAAUCUUUUUUAUUUUAAGAUGAGUGGAACUUCUUCUUUUUUUUUUUGCCUUUUCUAAUUGUUAAUCUUAUAUAUUUUUUAAUUUAUUUGUGAAAUUUGCAUAAAUAGCAAUCUUUUUUAUUUUAAGAUGAGUGGAACUUCUCUUCUUUUUUUUUUUUUGCUUUUUCUAAUUGUUGAUCUUAUAUUUUUUUAAUUAAUUUUUAUUUGUGAGGUUUGCAUAAAUAGCCGAAGAGGUUCAAACCCACAACUCUAGCAUGGGAAAGCAUUCCCAAGACCCCUUCCUUACCACUAAGCCAUCAAUUAGUUUUGCUAAGGGGUUCACAAGUUAAUAUACAUAUAUAUUUAUUUAAUUUUUUAAUACAAGUAUAGAGUUUACAUAAAAGCUAUUGGGUUCGCCCGAACCCCCACUAAGAUAGGCAUAAAAGUAUCAAUACAUUUAUUUUUAUGAAGGUAAAUACCAUUAGAUGUAACUUUUCAAGAAUGAAAACAUGUAUUAAAACAAAACUGAAAAGAGUAAUAACAUAAGUGAGAAAAAAAGACAAGAAAUGUAGAGAGACAAGAGAGAGUUUUCUUAUUCUUCCAAGUAUAUUCAAGUGUUUUCCAAAUCUUCAAGUGCAUAAUACAAUCUCAAGACCUCUAUUUAUAUUGUUAUAAAAAGACAUACAAAGAGAUAACAAUAAACAUGAUAUUAAUUUUUGAGAAUGUAGGGAAGAUCAAGGGGUGUAGAAGAUAAAUGAGGAGAUGGUGAAGGUGUGAGUAUUAUUACAUAUAAUGGUGAAAUUACACCUUGAAGUUAUGGACAUCCACAUUAAUAUAAUAUAUUUACAACAAAACAUUAAUUACAUAUAAAUUAUAACUAAAUUAAAAAUGAUGAGAAAAACAUAAAAAUGCCCCCAAAAAAGGAGAAAAAAAUUAAAUAUGAAUAGAGAUCAUAGAGAGGUGUCACGUCACUUUGUCUAUAUCUAGCUUUAUUUUUAUUUUAUAUAUAUAUAUAUAUAUAUAUAUAAGAAUAGAGGUCAUAGCCUAUAUCUAGCUUUAUUAUAUAUAUAGAUUUUUCUUCAGUUUUUGUUGGUUUUCUCUUUUUAAAUUUAUUUAUGUAAUACGUAAUAAUAAUAAUAAUAAAAGAGCCUUAUUUUCCCCCAAUUUUCAUUGGUUUUUUCUUUUUUAAAAUUUAUUUAUGUAAAUAUAUUCUUUUUAAAAUUUAUUUAUGUAAUUUUAUUUUUUUUGGAAUAUUUUUAUAUCUAUUAUAUUUUUAAUAGCUCAAAAAAUAUUAAUUCAAUUGAAUGAAAAGAGAAAAUCGGGUUAUUUUAAUCAAAAUUGAACAAUUUGAGUUGAUUUGGGGCUUUCCGUCAAAUGAGGGGUAUAUAUGGUGAAAUUAGUAACGGUAGGGAAAAAACUAACUUCACUUUAACGGUAAAAGCAUAGUUUACCAAUAAAACAAAAUUAAGGGGUGUUUUUGACCCUUUUCCCUUAUCUUUUUCAUAGGUAGCAGUGGAUACUGGAUACAUUUGUUAAAGUCAUAUACUCAAUAAUAUAGUAAUUUUUGUUUAUAUUUUUUAUGAACUAAUGAAAUUGCAAGAAUUAUCACUUAAUAAGCGAGUUUUCAAUUUUUGUUCUUCAACGGUCGAAUUUAUAUCUAGUAAAAUAUAUAUUCUGUAAAGGAGAAAAGUCAUGUAAGGCAUAAGUUGCGGAUAUUAUAAUGCAAGUAUGUAUAUAUAUAUAUCAGAAAAUAAUUUAUCUUGAACACAAAAAUUAAAAAUUAGCACAAAAUAAGGACAAAAGUGCAAUAUUUGUAUAUAUAUGUGUUAUCUGAAAGUUAUUUAUCUUGAACACAAAAAUUAAAAAUUAGCACAAAAUAAGGACAUAAGUGCAAUAUAUGUAUAUAUAUGUGUUAUCAGAAAGUUAUUUAUCUCGAACACAAAAACUAAAAAUUAGCACAAAAUAAGGUCAAAAGUGCAAAAAUUUUAUACUUUCGCUCUCCCGACUCAAGCUAAUACGUUAAAAAUUAAUGGAAAAAUUAUACAAAAUAGUAAAUAUUUAGCCUGUAUUAGGUGAUAUAGCUAUAGUUUUAGAAAAUUGUAAUUUGCGGCUAUAAUUUUUUCAAUUCUUGCUAUUGACCUGAUUUGUAUAAUUCGCAUAAUUUGUAUAAAUCUAGAAUUUGUAUAAUUCGGUUCCUGAUAGUAAAAAUCCAGAAUUUUGUAUAUGUUUACCCUAGUUAUUUGUAUACGAUUUAUUAUUUAUAAUAAAUUACCUUGUUUGUAUAUUGACAAGCGAAAUAUAUAAAUGGAGUUCUGAAAAAUUCAUAAAUGUAUAAUACAUAAUUUGUAUAUAUUUAUCCUAUUGGUAUAUUCGCAAGCGAAAUAUACAAACCACAGCCUCCAUAUCAAACAGAACUAUAGCUAUGGAGCGCAGUUAUUAGAGCUUUAUUAUGUUUGCUAUUUCUAAAAUUUUCUCAAAAUUAAAAUAGACUAUGUUUUUCGGUCUUAUUUCAAUAGGCUCAUAUGGUAUAUAAUUUGAAAGCCUAGGUUUUUUUUGUUUUUUUAUAUCAAUAUUCUUUCAACUUAGCCGAUUGACAAUUAAUUAAAUCGAUGACAAAACUAUUGAUUUCGUAAAUUUGAGUGAUGAAAAUCAAAUUAGAAAAGUAACUAACAAAUGAAAUAUUUUAUGUUAGUGAAUGAAUGAAAUUAUAGGCUUCUUAAUUACAAGAUUUGGAUAAUUUUCUUUCUUUUGAAUUAAUUUUUAAAGUGUGAGUUGUACUCAAAAUCUAAUUUAACAUGACAUUAAAGACAAACCUGAUGUGGGCUCCCAGGAAACCAAACAAUUGCGGAGGUGGAAAUUAUUUUCUAUUCAUGAAUGUGAGCAUGUGACACACCGAAUUGGAUCAUGAAAUCUCAUAUAAAGAAUUUGGAUUUGUACGGUAUAUAUGAGGAUAAUAAUGAAAGAAAUGUCUCACAUCAAUGAUAAAUAAAAUCCUAAGCUUCGUUGUUCAACAAGUGAAUUCAAAUUUUUAGAUUCUUUAAUAUCUUGAUGUUAAACUAAAAAAUAUUGGUUUAUAAUUACUCUUAAUUAUUUAAUUUUUUGUCGGUUUGCUUCACGGGUGAGCAUGUAUAAUUAAUUACUAGUGUACUUGUCCGCGCUUCGCGUGUGUAUAAGAAAAUAUUAAAUAUAUUUUUAAAUAAUUAAUGCCAUUAUUUGAUAAAUAUUCUUAUAAAUAAUAUAAUAAAAGGGAGAAAUACAAAUUAAGUUACGAUUCUGAUAUUAUCUAUUCAGAAAAAUUGUUAAAAAAGUUUCAUGCUACAGUUUCAAUUUAAAAUUGCUGAUAAAAAAGAUGAAAAUAUAAAAAUUGAUAUGAAAAGCUUUAGUUAAAUAAACAAUCUAAUUAUCAUAGUUUCAUACUAAAUUUCAUGAUUUUAUAGCAAUAUUAUUGAUUCAACCAUUAAUAUUAAAUCUACUUUAUCGUAAAUUAUGUGACUUUUCUUUUUUUGUAUAAAUGACUAUAUAAUAGAAACAAGAAAAUCAAAAUAUAUUUGUGCUAAAAUCAUCGUGAGGGAAAAAAUAUUUUGAAUUAUAUUCGAACAUAGUUAUACACAAAAUUCAAAAGUUAGAGAUUUUUUUUCGAUAUCCGAUGCUCAUUUUUUUUUUGAUAUCCGAUGCACGUAGUGACACUCAUUUGAUACAUAUUUGUGUCGCAUAAGAUCCAUUAAUAUUUUAAUUUAUAUUUAAACUUUCAUUCUUAUAGUGUGCAUUGUGAAAAGAGAUACUUAAGUUGCUACAGUGAAACAUUACCGUUGAGGUUAUACUUUUACAAUAAAAAUAAAAUAAAAUUAAACACAUAAUUUUGUCGUAUUAAGAUUAUCAGAUAGCGAUGAAGAAAUAUUUUUUUUUAAAAAAAAAUGAGUAUGUAGUGUUCAAGAUGUAGAAAAAGUAUCAAGAGUUAGAUAAAUUUUUUCAAUUUAUAUAUAUAUAUGGGACAAUAAAAGUUUAACAACAUCAAAAUAAUUAUUCCUAUUAUUACAAUAUUAUUGUUGUAAUUAUUAUAAAUAAAUUGGAGCAAUAACUCUCCAAAAGAUAACUCCAUUUUUUGUAUGUGGGAAAAUAAAAUAAUUUUUUUACUUUUCAAUAAUAAUAAAUUUUAAACACAAAUUUGUUAUUAAGAGAAUCAAAUGAUGAAAUUUAAAAAAUUUACUUGAUAAAUAAGAGAGUUGAAUAAAUUAUUUUUUAGUAUAUAUAUAUAUACACACACACUUGAUUAUUUUUAGGGAAAAGGGUCAAAAAUAUCCUCAAUUUUAGUUUAUUAGUUAAAUAUACCCCUAUCGUUGAAACAAAGUUAUUCAUACCAUCACCGUUACUAAUUUCUCCAUUUAUACCCCUCAAUUGACGGAAAUCCCUAAAUCAAACAAAAUUGACUCGAUUUCUUAAAAAAUGACUCAUUUUCCAUUUUAAAACCAUGUCCGACCCAUCUAUCUAUCUUAAACCCAAAAGAAUUUAACCCAUUUUCUAUACCCAUUCUAAAAAGAAAAUUCAUUUGGAGCUACUUCUCCAAUUGCGUUUUAGGUGACAAAAAAGUGUUGAAAUGUAAAAAGAGUGACUCUAGUUUUAAUUAUUAAGUGUAGGUGACAAAUUUUUAAUCAAUUUUUAACAAUAAUUAAAUAAGUCCUCAAGUUUUUGUUUUUACACUUUCAUUUUUUGGAGCAAUAAUUUUGUUNNNNNNNNNNNNNNNNNNNNNNNNNNNNNNNNNNNNNNNNNNNNNNNNNNNNNNNNNNNNNNNNNNNNNNNNNNNNNNNNNNNNNNNNNNNNNNNNNNNNNNUGACUUCAAAGACAUUGUCGAGCAGCACCUAAACACACAAAAAUCGAUCCGAUCUAAGCACUUUUAGACGAGUAUGAUGACUCUACUAAUGGAGGAAAGAGAAGAAGGAGAGUGGCAUCGUGGUCGGCCAUGGCCGUUUCCGAAGCAAACCGUUGUCGCCGGAGCUCGAAGCAGACAAUUGGAGAGAAUCAAAGACAUAUAUUUUACCCAAAUAAUUACAACAAAAAAAAUUAAACCAAUAAAAGAAAAUUCACAACCCCCACCCCCUGUAAUGUCUUCCUCAAAGAUCCUACUCAUUUGCAGAAACAUCUGCACACCCCAUCCUUCCCUCUAAUUUUUUUCUCCAAACUCUUCGAUUCGUUUUAGUGCGCACACACCUACACACUAUUUCUUUUUUCAUCAUUUUAGAGUAGUAUCUUUAUUCACUAUUAUUAGAAUUUAACUUUGUAAGGGAAUUGGUGAGAUAGGUAAAUGUGCUUCUCACAAAGAUGUCUGCUUUUUGCAGUCAUGAGAAGAGGCAGCGAUGAUGAUGUUCACUUUUUGAGUUAGCUGACUCUGGAAUUUGGGGAAAAUAAUUUAAAAGGAAGAGUAAAAAAAGUUUGUAGAAAUGGUGACUAAAGGGCAAGGAAAAUGAGUUAAAUUAUUUUGGGUUUAAGAUAGAUGGAUGGAUCAGGCAUGGGUUUAAAAUGGGGGAUGGGUCAUUUUUUAACAAAUCGGGUCAAGUUUGUUUGAUUUGGGGAUUUCUGUCAAUUGAGGGGUAUAAAUGGUGAAAUUAAUAACGACGAGGGUAUAAAUAACUUUGUUUUAACGGUAUGGGUAUAUUCAACUAAUAAACUAAAAUUGAGGGGUAUUUUUGACCCUUUUCCCAUAUUUUUAUAAUGCCUUUAUUUAUAGGAUAACAAUAUAAAAUAUCAAAUGAUAUCAUGAACAUGACUAUUAAUAUGAUUUAAGAGAUAUGAUCAAGUCAUGAAAGUAAGGAAAAUAAAGACAAUUAAAUAUCAAAUGAUAUUAUGAACAUAAUUAUUAAUAUAAUUUAGGAGUUAUGAUCAUCAAAAGUCAUGAAAAUAAAAACAAUUAAAAUUUUCUAUUAAAAAAUAUAAAUAAAUGAAGGAAUAUAAUUGACAUAUUCAGUUUUGUACAACAAUAAGAUAUAUAUAAAUAAGAAAAAUUAUCAAAAAAUGAGAAAAAAAGAAGAUAAAUAUGAUUCUUGGCCAAAAAAAUAUGUCACGUCACUUUUCUUUUAUCUAGAUAAUUUAUAUGUUGGUAAAAAAAGUAGAUUGAGAGAGAAAAACAAUUUUACUAAGUCGUUUAUAUCCUAAUCAAAUACUUUUGCAUUUUGAGUUCAGACCAGGUCAUAGCAGUAAUUUCUGAAAUUUCAAAAACUUAAGAACUUAUAACAAUAACAAUAAAAAAAAUUAAAAUAUGAAGAUCACAAAGUUACGUAUUAAUAGUUAAAAAAAAUUUAUGAAUUAAACUGUAUUUUGAAAAUUAAUUAACUUUAACAUUCUCAUAUUCUAUCAUUCAUCUAUUGGGCUAAAAAUACCCUUGAAGUAUUAGAAAAGGUCUAAAAAUACCCCUCCAUCCGCCUUUUUGGUCCAUCUCUAUCCUUAAAACUAACAGUCACUUUUAAAAAAAUUAUUAUUAUUAUUAUUUGUUACAUGUCAUUUUCUUAGUGGAUAAAUUAAAUCCCAGCCCAUUUAAUUUUCCCCUACCCACCCAUUGUAGUGAACAUGAUCAAACCCAAUUAGAAGACCCAUUAAAAAAUAAAUUGAUUGAGAUUUAAUUUAUCCAAUAGGAAAAUGACAUGUAAUAAAUAAUAAUAAUAAUAAUAAAAAAUUAAAAAGUGGUUGUUAGUUUUAAAGGUAGAGAUGGACCAAAAAAGUGGAUGGAGGGGUAUUUUUAGCCCAAUAGAUGAAUGAAUGGUAUUUUUAGACCUUUUCAAAUAAUUCAAGGGUAUUUUUGGCCCUUUUCUGUAAUUAAUAAAAAGUUGAUCCACAUAACUAUAAAAUUAUAUCUACAUACUUUCUUCAGUAGCAUACAUAUACAUGUAUAAGGGUGUAUAAAACCGAAUCGAAAACCUAACCAAACCGCAAACCGAGUCAACCCGGAAAAAAAACCCGAACUAGUGGUUUGGUUUUUGAAAAAAAAAACCCCGAACUAUAUUUGGGAUUGGUUUGGUUUUAACUAAAAAAAACCAACCCGACAUUAUAUAUAUAAUUUUAAAAUUUUAUUUUAUACAUAAAAAUAUUUACUUUGAUAUAAUUUUUAAAUAUUUCUUAUACUUUUUCAUAAUUUUUUAUCUUUUAUUAUAUUAUUUCAAGUUUUGAAACUUAGAAUUAUGAAUGGGCCAAUAAAAAUUAUAGUUCACAGAUGUUGGUAAUUGCCUAAUUAUAAUAAAGCUUAAAUCAAAAUUAAAUUAAUACUAAUGCAAAAAUAAAAUCAUUUCAACACGACAAUAAUAUUGAAUAUUUGUUCUUUAGUUUUACAUUGGUUUAGACAAUUAAAAUACAUAACCUAAUUUAAUUUCCUUUAAAUAUUUAGUCAUGUAACUAAUACUUAUUAAAUUUAUUUUUAGCAUGCUUUAGUACUUUUAAAUUAUGAUCAUUUUCAUUAUGACUUGUUAAUUUGCAAUAUUUGUUUUACACGAUUUCAUUAUUAUUAUUAUUUUUGUUGGAUAUUUUAGUGUCAUUAAUCAUAUUAUAUUGUAGUAUAUUUUUAAGAAACAUCUUAGAUAGUUGUAGUUUGGUAUGGCUAAAGAAAUAUUUGAAGUACAAGUAAAUUAUAUGUUUGUAUGAAUACUUUACCGAAACAACCCAAAAAACCGAAAAAACCUGAAAAACCCAAGGUUGAAAAACCCGAGUUUUAUUGGUUUGGUUUAUAAAUAUAAAAAUCCAACACAAAUGGUUUGGUUUGAUAUUUGAAAAACCCGAACCAACCCGACCAUGUACACCCCUAUACAUGUAUAUGUUAACUUCUUAUUCUACUUUGUUGAAUUAUAUCCUCAGCAUAAGUAGUGAAGACAAAACAAAGUAAUAAUAAAAUGACGGAAUGACCUGGGAGACCCAUGUACUUAGCUCCGUUUGUAAGUUGAACCCUCCUACUUAUCAAUUUGUCAACUGAACCCCUAAACCCAUCAGAACACAAUAUUUUAAACCCAUUUGACCAUUAACCGAACUUAUGUAGCAUUGAUAAUGCUGAGUUGGAAAAUUACGUAAUUACAUACGUUUGACAGUGAGUAAAUAAGGUAUUUUACAUUAAAAAUAUUUAAAUAAUAAUAAUCAAUUUAAAAAAAAUAAUUAAAAACCCAUCUUCCUCAACCAUCCCUCUCCAACCCCACUCCACCCCUCUCUCCUCCGUCCGAACCCAUAAACUCAUCAUAACACAAUAUUUUAAACCUCUUAGACCAUUGACUGAACUUAUGUAGCAUUGAUAAUGCUGAGUUGGGAAAUUACGUGAUUACAUGCGUUUGACAGCAAGUAAAUAAGGUAUUUUAAAUUAAAAAUAGAGUAAAGACAUAAAUACACCAUCAAAGUUGUCCCGUAUUUUCAUAAUGACACCUUAACUUUUAAAGUGUCCUAUCACACCACAGAACUAUUUAAUAUCUUUGUAAAUGGGCCAUUUUGACCCAUUCCCUCGUCUAUUUAGUGGCGCGUGUUGCUCACUCCCUAUGAUGAGAAAAGACCCGACCCGACCCUGUUCUUUGAAGAAAGUCAUUUCUCCUUUUCUUUUCUUAUUUCUCAACUUUCCCUAAAAUCUAAAGAAAUAGAAAAGUUUUCUCAACAACUUUAAGUAUGAGUGAAAUAGGUCUAAAAAUAGAGGAGAUUAGAUAAAGGAUUCAAUCCAAUUACUUUGGAAGUGGGUCCUGAAUCUUUGUUGCAUCAUUGCAGCUUCGAGGGAUCCUAAGUUUCCAUACACUAAGAACCAUUGAUUCUUAGGUGAAGUAAUACAAUGGCCGGUUUAAAACACGGGGCAAGAUCUAGUACAGGUGUAAGGGUUGAUUAACAUAUUAAGCAUGCAUGGAUUAAUACUUCUCUACACCGCAUAGAAUCUCAAUUUCCAGGAGCACACAACAUGAUGGAAGCGGAGCCCUCCCCAUUGGACAAAAUGAAAAAAUAAAUGUUAAUGCUGUUAUACCCCAUUUUAACUCGAGGUCAAAACGGUGUACGACAUUUUGGUGAUUUCCAAAUUAAUUAACUUAAGAAGUCGCCACCUAAUUAAUUACGGUGAAUUAGGACACCUAAAUAUUGAACUAAGUAAUACUAAAAUGACUUCAAUUAAAAGGUCUACUAAACUUAAGAUUCUAGGUAAGGGUUCUAAUUAUCCUAAAGGGAAGGGGUAAGGCAUCCUUUAAGAUCCAUUAAAGACGGUUACCGGCCAAACUUAGGUUAAUUAAUUUUAAAAGAAAGAUAUGAGUGUUAAAUAUUAAGUGAUUGAAUAACCAAGUUGGAAAACAUUUUUUACUUUAAAAGCACUUUUGCAAUUUAUUAGAAUGAAAAAGAUUUAAGAAAGAGUAAUUUCUUUAGAUCAAUUUAGACAAAUUCAUGGCUAAAAAAAGUAAUUAAAAAAAAAAAAAAAAAAAAAAAAGCAUUUGCUCAUUAACCGACAAGAUGCUCUCUUUAGAAAAAGUUUAAGAAAAAUAAGAGUUUAGAACAAUAUAUUUUUUCUUUGAAAGAUAUUGCCAAGUUUGAACAAAACUUAAUAAAUUAGUGAGUUUAAAAUGGUGCAAAAGAAGUGUUUUAAAAAAAAAAAGCUAAAGUAACUAUAAAGGUUGUUUCUAACUAAAGGUACCCAAACCCAAACAUCUAUAUUAAGUCAACUAUUAUGAAUCCGAACUAGAAAUAUAUAAAUCACACAAGCAAGUAUAAAUUGAAAGAAAACACAAACAAAUAAUGCAAAAUGUAAGUAGCGAUAGGUGACUCCAAGAUAGGACCACUUGUUUUGCUUGCAAUUUCGAAUGGUCAAAGAUGUAGUGAAGAUUCCAUGUGCGGGUGUGAGGAUAAUGUUGAGUCUAUGAGACUCGGUAAUUUGCUAGAGUCUUGAAUCAAAGACUCCAUUUUGCUCCAAAGUGUACAUGUAAAUAAAGAGAGGGUAAAAAAGAAUUGGUAAGACAAUUAAACCUUACUCGAUAUCGAAUAAACUAGAAAUAGAAUUGAGUUAAAUAGCAUAACGAAAAUACCAUCCAAAACAUGAAAACAUGCAAAUGCGAAACAAAUCUCAAAGCAAACUACUACGACGCCUUUAAGGCACAAAAAAAAACAAUACACAACCCCUCAUAUUUAAGCUACAAACGAACUACUCGUUAAAGACUUGAAUUUAAAAAAAAUACUUAUGCCAUAAGUUUUCCAGAUUUAUACAUGCUGUAAUACUAUUACUUAAACUAAAAAAAAUAAAAACAAAAUACAUACACAAUACAAUUAACAAAAGAGCACAAAACAUAAGUUAGUACUUGUAUGCAAAAAGUAAGUUGCACGAGAAUUCCUACAGACGUAACUCUUAAUAAGAGAGCACUUAGUUGCUAACCAUUUUUUAUAUAUUUUACAGUCAUCUUCCUUAAGCAUGCUAUACAUAGGAAAAUAUGAACAUUGAAAUUUUAACAUAUAAGCACACGAAAUAAAUCAUUUAAACUGAGAACGAAACAGCAACAACACAACCCAUAUAAAUCGAACUAUGAGACUAAGUCAUUAACAAAAUAUUUAAAUCCAAAGCUAAGCCAUUCUUUAAACUCAAGGUCUAGUAAAUGAGGGGAAAACAAUUUCUGAUCUGUAUAAAUCUCAAAAGGAUACAAACACAUUUUUUAACAAUCAACAUAUAAUAAUAGCGAACUAAAUAAUAUUAGUUCGAGUAGAAUUUGAGAGAAACUUAAAAGCUUAUAAGAUACAGGGUGCGAAGCUGCUGUAGUGUAUCCGCGAUUAGAGCUUAUAUUUUUUUAAAAAAAUAAUGAUAUGGUCUGUACCAUAUUUUAACUAAAACAAAACAAAUAUUAUAUUCCUUGAACACGUUUUUACAUAGGAAUGCAUACAUAUAUCAAAUGAUCAGAACUUGGAGUAAGAAUUAAUGUAUAUGACCUAAAAUACAACCAUUUCCAUGUAAUAAAUAAAUUUAUAUCUCAAACGAAAACACAAAUACAAUUAUCAAAUAACUUUGAAUACAGUUAAACUAGGCAGGAAUUACUCUCUACAUACAAAUUUGUUAGAGUAACAUAACAUUUUCCCACAGAAACAAAACAGAGGAAGAAAAAGAGAAUGUCACCUGCUAUAGGGCAGUGAACGGGGCUGUUUCGAUCAAAUGUCUAUAUUCGAACAAUAACGAACUCAAGGAAGCUUGAAACUUGAGUUUCGAUCGAGAUUUAAAGAAGGAUGCAAAGACAAUAUUUUAGAAAAGAAAAUAGUAGUUAAACAAUGCUAUGGUGCAAGGAAAAGCUUUUUAAGAAUGAAUGCCAAGGCUUCUAUGGAGGCUGAAAAAUCCUCUUUUUUUUUUUUGCUAAAGAUAUAAGGAUGUAUUUAUAGAAAAAAUUAGGGUUCUUCAUUGUGUUGAGCGGGAAUAGAUUUUGAACUUUCAAAUUAGUCAAAAAGUCUUCAAAUCCGACCGUUUGAAGCUUGAAACAGACAUCACGUGAUACCUUGGAGAAAGAGACAAGUUUUGCUUGGAAUGGACCAAGCAAAGUCUGUCCAUGGCUGAAGAGAAACGAAACUUUAGCCAAAAAUGGAGGAGAAAAGACAGACAUCGAGUAAAGAGAAAAGACCUAAAUGAUUUCGGGUCUUGAGCCAUUUUACUGAUGAAUGAACAUUGGGUUGGGCUGGUGCUAAAUUUUCUUUUGUGGGCUGAUCUGAAAGUUCCGUUGGGCCAUAUUUUGGAGUGGAUUUGGGCUCGUUUUGCUGGACCAAUUUUGGGCUGAAUUUUGAAGGUCUUUUCUCUUCUUUCUUUGUAUUAUUUUGGGCUUCUAAAUUAAUAAUUAAUACAAUAUCUAUUAUGAUAUGAUAACAACUAGAAAUUUACAUAAUAAAAAUAUCACUAAUAUAAAAUAUAUAUACGAAAUAUUAAAUAAUAAUUAAUUUAAUAAAUACGAAACUAGAAAUAAGAUGACGACAAUUGGUUAUUUAAGAAAAGAGAUGUAAAAAAGUGAUAAUAAUCAUUUCGAUAAUAAAAACCUAUAAUUUUAGUAGAUUAAUAGUUGUAAUAGUAAAAAUAGUUGUGAAAAGAGAUAAUUCGAUACAUUAUUAAUUUAGAAGCUUGAAAAUGAUAAAUUAGAAGAAAGGAGGGUCAAAAUUGGGUGUCAACAAUGUUCCCUUUGUUGUUUUCCUAAUAUUGGUAGUUGAGAUAUUGUUAGGAUAUUAUAGUUUUUCGUUGUUACAGGUUGAUCUUGCUUGGAAAAAACCAUGAAAUCAAAAAAUUAGGGCUAUUUUGGGUUUAAAAUUGGGGAAGAUGACAUAAAUUGAUUAUAUAAUUAAUAAUAAAGAAAGCUAAUGACACGUGGCACUUUUAAAUUGGUCCAUGGCAGUGAAAGCACGGAAUGACGCGCCUCACGUGCAUGGUAACAACCCAGACGAGGGAAUGGGUCAAAAUGGCCCAUUUACAAUGAUAUUAAAUAGUUCUGUGGGGUGAUAGGACACUUUGAAAGUUAAGAUGUCUUUAUGCAAAUACGGGACAACUUUGAUUGUGUCUUUAUGUCUUUUCUCUUAAAAAUAUUUAAAUAAUAAUAAUCAAUUUUAAAAAAUAAUUAAAAACCCAUCUUCCUCAACCAUCCCCCUCCCACCCCUCUCUCCUCCGUCUGAACCCCUAAACUCAUCAAAAUACAAUAUUUUAAAUCUCUUUGACCAUUGACCGAACUUAUGUAGCAUUGAUAAUGCAGAGUUGGAAAAUUACGUGAUUACACGCUUUGACAACGAGUAAAUAAGGUAUUUUAAAUUAAAAAUAUUUAAAUAAUAAUAAUCAAUUUUAAAAAAAUAAUUAAAACCCAUCUUUCUCAACCAUCCCUCUCCCAUCCUACCCCACCCCUCUCUCCUUCGUCUGAACCCCUAAACUCAUCAGAACACAAUAUUUUAAACCCCUUUGACCAUUGACCGAACUUAUGUAGCAUUGAUAAUGUUGAGUUGGAAAAUUACGUGAUUACACACGUUUGACAGAGUAAAUAAGAUAUUUUACAUUAAAAAUAUUUAAAUAAUAAUAAUCAAUUUAAAAAGGAUAAUUAAAAAUGCAUCUUCCUCAACCAUCCCUCUCCCACACCACCCUACCCCUCUCUCCUCCGUCCGAACCCCUAAACUCAUCAGAACACAAUAUUUUAAACGCCCUUGACCAUUGACCGAACUUAUGUAGCAUUGAUAAUGUUGAGUUGGAUAAUUAUGUGAUUACACGCGUUGUCAGCGAGUAAUAAGGUAUUUUACAUUAAAAUUAUUUAAAUAAUAAUAAUCAAUUUUAAAAAAUAAUAAUUAAAAACCCAUCUUCCUCAACCAUCCCUCUCCCACCCCACCCCUCUCUCCUCCUAUUUGUUUUUUUUUUUCUAAAAAAAAUUUUGGGCUUUGCCCGAGGAGAUGUAUGGGGUGCAAUUGUCUCUCUUUCAAGUUUAUUAAUAAAAAAAAAUACCACAAUUGUUUUAAAAAAAAAAAAAAAACACCACCCCUCUAUCCUCCGUACCCCCCCCCCUCCCCGCCUCUCCUCUUCUUCUUCUUCUCUUGGAAUUUCAUCCACCACACUCACUCUCCUUCAUCCACCUCCUUCUUAACCCACACUUCUUUUUCAUUACAAAUCAACCGUCCACCCUAACCACUUAGUCUAAAAGUCUUUUAGAUUCUAGCUUUUUAGUCUAAAAGUAUUGAGAUAUUAUUAGUUUUAUUUGGCAUCAAAAAAGAGGUCUAAGUAUGGAUUAACACGAAAGAUAAUGGUGGAUAUUGAAAAAUUAAAACUCCAUUGAUAAGUUAGAGAAAGCUUGAAAUUUAUAAGAUAUAUUAGAACUAUAUAAAAAAAAAUAUCACAUAUACCAAUCAAUUGUGUAUACUACAAACAAUUAUACUUCUCUUUCAAAAUUUAGUUACUCAAUAUUACUUGCAAGUUUUAGUAGCAUCUAUAUCAUUUAAUUUUUUUGUACUAAUUAACACAGGACACACAUGCAACGCACGUGCCUAGAGACUAGUUUAUAUAUGUACAUAAACUUAGAAAAUAUAUCCAAUAUAUACAUCUUAAUUUUUUGUCGAGGGGGUUCGGGUGAACACUCUCCCUCCCUUGAUUGGCUCAUUGAUACUAUUAUUGUUAGUGCAAGAGGAAACUGCUAGGGAAGUUGCCUCUGAUAUAUGUUGGAGCAGAUGGGAUAUAAGAUUUUGAUUUGAUGGGUUCAAUUUUUAGGUUCUUAUCAUUGAGCCCGUUAUACUUUGAAAUUAUGGGUUCAUAUUCUAUUAUUAAUUAAAAUUUUAGUGAUUUUUCACAUAUACUUUUAUGAUCUGUGUCGAAAAUGCAAAUCUUAUACUUAUAUUCGCCAUCCGCCCUGUGUAACUGAACAUAUUACUGUUUGUCUUCCAUGUAACAGUGAUCCUAAAACCAUUCCUUAUUUAUGAUCUGUAACUAUGGUCGUUAUCUGCUAAUAGCUUCGGAUGUUCUUGUCCUCUAGGCUAGUUCUUGGACCUGCAUUAUAAAUUCACUACUACUAUAUCUUUCUUUCUUAUUGCAUUUGGGAUUUGCAGAUUGCUCUUUGUUAUCAAAACAUUGCACAAAUCUCUCAUGUGGUCAUUCACAUAUAACCCCAUUAUUUCAUAUUCUAUAUAAGAAUUAUGUAAUCAAAAAUAAUUUAGCAUCUUAUUUGUAGAUUUUGUUCUGUUAUUGUAACAUAACAAAACUACCUCAUUUGAAUUUCUUGAAAACGGAUGCAUGUAUUGAAUUCUUUCAUGCCACACAUAUUUCUUUAAAUUAUUCCAAACAUAAGUACAACAACAACAACAUAAGUAGUGAUGAAAAAACAAAGUGAACAUAAAAUUGCUAAAGAAACAACUAAGAAAAAGUAAGGGUUGAAUCCAUCUAAUGGAAUCCUGGAGGCCACCUCUUGAUGCUAAUACAAAGCGCUUUCAAUGGUGAUGAAAGAGGAUUAUGGCCAAGAGUGACAAAGAAAUAGUGUAAUCGGAUUUAACUAACCCUAAAGCUAGCUCAUCUCUGUACAAUCUCUUGUAGGGCCCUAUUCAGGUGUGCCACAAUUAUGUUAGCAGCUAUAUAUCUCAUCUUUCUUCAAUUGUGCCUGACAUUGUUUCAUGAACUGGAGUUCCAGGUUCUGUUGUAGAGAACCCUUCAGAAGCAGGGGAUUCUCCUAGGCCAUCGGAGAUUCCGAUUUCUGGGCUUUCCAAAGGUAGGUUGGGCGAUAAUUCAAUAGAAGCAUCACUUUCUGCAAACACUGUAGCCGUUAGGCUUUCAUUCCCUUCAGAUGGCUUUUUUGACAUAGAAUUAGAGUCGUCUCUCUUUAAAUCAAAGACUUUUGCUAUUGCACAAAGCUUUUUUCCUAUUGAAUCAUCAGUGACUAAGAUUUCUCUAUUCUGAUAAAGGAAGAUGAGGAAGAAUAGGAGAAGAGAGGAGCCUGCUGACACACCAUCUUGCUUUGGACAAUCUGUUUCAAUAUCUUUCUGUGGACAAUCUGUUUCAUUCCCAAACCAUUUCUGAAUUAUGUUAUUCAUAGUCUCUCCCUCUAUCACCUUCAAGACUGCUCUUGAGACGUCAGGUACCAAAGGAGAUCCUUUUGGAAAUGCCUGCAACAAGUUGUGGGAAAAUUAAAGAUUAGAUCAUUGAGUAAACCACUAACCACUCUAAAACAAAUGUUAACACUUGCUGAAACAUCAGUUAAGUACAACAAUCUUACAAAUCCAAAGCCGGCAGCCUUGUAUGUCGGACCAACCAUAAUAUACUUCCUGCAGUAUUUGUUCAGCAAGAGUCUGAGAUAAGGUAGUUCAUCAACAAUUGCACCAACACCUCCAUUUUUACUACCUCUUGAGAGUGCAUCAUUAUACUCUUCCAAUGUGCUGUAACUCCUAAAUUUGGAGCUGUCAAAUUUCAUGCGUGUCAAGACGUCUUUGACAAAGGAACCUUUUUUAUCAGCACAAAUCUUGAUAAGUUACUUGUUAUCUUCUCUUCUGCAACAACCAGUCAUAUAUAGGAUUUGUUGAGAAACAAGGAGAAAUCUUAAACUUUUGGUCUAUAAUUUGAUUUGAGUUAGAGACUUACUAUGAGCAAAAACGAGAGUUGAGAAGGAAAACCAAAAUAUUAUCCCAACUUGCUUGCGUUUGGGUCCUCGAAAAUCUUUGUUUACACGAUGUUCGAGUACCCAAACCACAAAACCAAUGAAGACGAAGAAUGCUCCGGUUGCUAUCCACAGCUCGGCCUUUAAAGGUUUCAAGAAGAUCCAAGCGUUCUUCCUAUCAUCAUUCCUUAAAGGCACAACUGCAGAAAUACCCGACUCUGAAUAAGGUAAUGUGAAAUCUACAUACUCAGAUCGGCUUGCUAAAAUGGUAACAUCACCUACAACUGCAUCAUAUUCCUGGUUCAAGCAAACAUUGAUUAUUUAAGUAUUUAUUGUUGGUCGCUAAAGCAGAACAUAGAUAAGAAGUCCAAAAAAGGAGCAUGUAAGUGAGUUAUUCAGCUGAAGAGGUUAAUUUUACCUUAGAAGUGAUCUUCUGAACAAGAUCAUCAUAGUUUUAAGAAGUAGGGCUAUGUGCUAUUGGAAAUAGAAUAAAUUCGUAGGGGACAGCAUAUGGCAAAGAUAGGAUGACUUCUUUGAAGACAUCUGGAACAAAACCAGUUACAAUUACUUCUUGUGUCGUUGGAUUUGUUUCCACUUGAAUGAAUUGCUCCAGCCCGUCAGGAACUCCGACCCUUAACUUCUUCCCACUUGUGGGUAUUUCCCAGCCUCUCGGAACAAUAGUAGAUUCACCAGGCCAAAUGAUGACCCCUAGUUGCUUAUUAUUAGUUUUAGCUGUUUUACCAUUCAUCUUGAGUUUAUGCGAAAUGCCAUCCUUCUCUGUCCAGAAUCCAACGAUUUUCUCUCCUUUCCCAAUUAUAUUCACAAUCUGAUAUGGGGACGGCUGCAGUUCUCUAUCAACGAUACGGAAAUCACCACUUAGUCCUGGUUUUAGCUCUGUGUUUUGCAUAGAGUCAAUGAGCAGAGAUCCCACUUCUGAGGUUCCAAGUGCAUCUAGGUCUGUUAAGUUCUCUCUAGUGUCUGGUUCUUAAUUUUGGGAUAGCAGUAGUGCCCACUUUCUCUACUGCUUCUGCUAAUAAGGUGAUGCUAUCAUAUGCCAUAGCCCGAAAACAUUGAGUUCUACUUGGUCCAUGUCUGGAUAUUCUUGACGAAAUCUCUUUCUCCAUCUCUUGGUGAACAUGUCAAGCGCAUUUGGAGUCCAGAAAACUCGUUAGCACAUCUGUGAUGAUCCAUGCAUAUCCACUGCUCAUCAUCCCAGCUUCUUUGGCCUUGAGGAAAAGGCGUGAGGCAAGAUAUGGUUGUAAGUGCACAAUGAACACUGUGGUUUGCUUUGUAUUCAAAUUGUGUAACUCCUUGAGGAUUUGAUCAUCACUGGCUGAAGGAGAAAUAGCACUUUUAUAGGGGACUAAAGUGUUGAUUUCCAGUAAGGCAUCAGUCAGAUGUGGAACUAUCCCAGUUCCAAUGGAGCUAUCCUCGUGGAUGAUUACAACCUUCGUCCAAUUAUAGUUUUUAACAAUUGCUGCAAUGGCUUUAGUCUGGCUGGAAGAAGGAAGUGCUCCUCUGAUGAAGAAGGGAUUUUCCUUGACUGUAAGUAAAGGACUUGUUGCUGGAGAAAUGAUAGGGACUUUUGUUCUGUUCCCUAUGUCAAUCACAAAAUCAGUUUGUGUAGACAUUUGUGGCCCAAAGAUAGCUUGUACUUGGACAUCCUUUAGCAAGUAUAUGGCUGCGUAUACACAAUCAGACUAUAAGAAAUCGUUCCAAAGUGAAAAACAGACGAAAAGAGAGAAUGAUAUGCUAGUUUAACAGAAGUAAAUCAUGGAUCAGAAUAUACCAGCGGAUGCUGCUUCAACAUCAUCUUUCUUUGAAUCCCUGAUAUGAGGAACUAUCCUUAUGGCACCGCGACUAGUGUUGGCAUGAUAAUCUGCAAGAGCUAGUAAGAUAGAUAUGUGCAUUACUUUUCCCACAUCUGUUUCCAGAUCAAGAAUUAUGCCCACAUCCACCUUUACAGCACUAGUGUUAUUAUCUUCACCUCUUAUUCCAAUUACAUAGUGGCAAAAGCUAAUGAUGGAAACAAGUUGAAUGAAAAUAAUUAGGAAUUUGCAUCUUGGAUUAUGCAUUUGAAAAACUCUUGUAGAAAGUAAUAUGAGUGUUGGGCAAGAAGCAGUUGUGCUUGUGCAAGAUUUAUAACCACCAUUCAGAGAUGUGUUUAAAGGUAUCUUAACUAUAACUUUUCUACAAUUAAAUGAGAGCAAACCUCAUAACUGCAGAAAGAAAAGUCAAAGUUUUCAAAGAAUUACAAAUGGUUUAAAAUAUACUAGUUUGAUUAUUAAAGAAAGAGUACUUUGCACACUUGUUAGACCACAAGCUAGUAAAGCCUCCUCAGUUUUGACCAAAUCAAUAAAUGACUAAAUGAACAUAGUGACAAAAUUGAUUUGUACUCAUUCUCCCAAUACCCAAAGAAGUUUUUGUAUUCAUUGGAUGACUAUCUAGAGGCUACUAAAAGGACUUCCCAUAUUUUGGCUAAGUCAUGUUGAAAGUUGAGUGCUAACUCAGUUACAAAUAAGUAGAAGAGGUCAGUUUCUAUGACUUGGACAUUGGAAAAGGGCAGCUAUGACUAGUAAUCUUUAGUUUACUUAGACGGUUUCAGUUUAGAAUUGGUCAGUAGUAUAAAACUUUAUGGUGGUAGAGGCACAACUUGUAGGGUUGUUCCGGGUUAUCGUUAAUUAAAAAAUCAAAUCAAACUUGUAGGGUUGUUUGGUUAGGUUUUAAAUUUUGAAAAUCAAUACUAUUUGGUUUGGUUUGGUUUUAAAACUGUAAAAAUAAUCAAAUUGAACGUGUAAUUAUAAUAAUUCUAGUAUUGCUUGAUUGAAUCCACAGUAACUUUCAUGUGUAUUGUUCAUGUACUAGGUGUCUGUGUUUAUAUAUAUGUCUUCAAAAAAAUUAUUACUUCCAAAACAAAAAAACAAAAAAAUUGAACCAAACCGACAAUUAUUUUUUUCAUUUGGUUUUAGAAUUUAGAAACCGACUAAAUUGAUCUGGCUUUGAUUUUAGCCAAUAAUCAAUCCAAAUUGAACCAUGAACACCUCUAGGCACAAAUAUAACUUGGUAUGUGAAGAAUUACUAUAAUACCUUUCCUUUAACUUUUUUUUUUUAAAAAAAAAUCUCCAUCCUCCAUUUUUUUCCCUUCACUUUUAAAAAAAAAAAAAAAAACCUCUAUUGGGAAAUUUUUCAAAUCAGUUUUUUUUACUCAUGAGCUCUAUUCCUUUCCCUUUUAUAUUUUUUAUAAUAUAAAAUAUAAGAUAAAAUAAAGAAUUUUUUUAAAAAGAAAUGAGAAAAAAAAUGAUGAAGAUGAGGGGUGAGGAGCUAAAGGAGAGAAGAAAGAUAGAACAUAAGAUGAGAAAGGUAGGGUCCCCAUAUUUUCUUUAUCAAAAAGUAACUUCUUACCUACCAAAGUCAUAUUUAUGCCUCUACCACCACAAAUUUUUUCGUAUUAACUUGCUUGCAAGUUGCAAAACCAAACAAAGCAAGCAUACCCAAAUGGAGAUGGAAUCUUGGAAUGAGGAUGGUUGGGUAUACAUGUAGGUGUCAAUGUCAUUGUCUCAAUAUAUAUAUAUAUAUAUACUCCCUCCGUCCCAAUUUAUGUGGCACCCUUUUUUUUUAGUCUGUUCCAAAAAACAAUGUCAUCUUACUAUAAUUAGAAACAAGGGAAAAGACUCAAAUAUGCUAUUGAAAUUUGAGAAAAGACUCAUUUAUGUCAUCCGUUAAAAGUUUGGUUCAUCUAUGUCAUUUUCGUUUGAGAAAAAACUCAUCCAUACCAUUAGUUGUUAACUAAAAAUAAUUUUGGUUUUGUAAGAUCAUUUUAUACACAUGGUCAAUUAUGAUUCGGCCAUGUCAUCAAUUAAAUCAUUUCUAUAGAAGAGAAAAUGUUCAAAUAUGUCAUCGAACUUUGAGAAAAGACUCAUUUAUGACAUCCGUUAAAAGUUUGUCUCAUCUAUGCUAUUUCAGUUAAUAAAUAAUGGCAUGAAUGAGGUUUUUCUCAAAUGAAAAUGGCAUAGAUGAGCCAAUUUUUUAACGAAUGACAUAUAUGACAUUUCUCAAAGUUCGAUGGCAUAUUUGAGUUUUUUCCCUAUAAACAAUUUCACUUAAAAUUUACUGUUAUCCUUAAUGAAAUUAUUUACAAACACACAAAUAUCUAAGGAUUGUUUUAGAUCACAAGUUUAAAAGUCUUUUUAAAAUAUAUAUAUAUAUAUAUAUAUAUAUUGUGUCAAGUUAAACAGUGCCACAUAAAAUGAGACAGAGAGAGUAAUUGUUAAUGUAAGAGGAAGCUGCUCGGGAAGUUACGUGUAUGAUGUUGAAGUUAUUUGACAUGCAGUUGAGGUGAUCCUAUAAUCUUCCAUUAUUUAUGACUAGUAAAAUCACUGAAUUUAUAAAAUAAUACUUAAAACAUAUGAGUCAUUAAAACUAAAACACUAUAUUAUCUUACAUAUAAGAUUACAUAUAACAAACAUUAAUAAUGUAAGUAAUUUCUUUUUUGCAUAUGUUAACAAAUUUUUGAAUUUCUUCCUGAGACAUAUAUCACAAUUGUAAAAUCUAUACAACUUAAAUGUGUUCUUGUUCUUACGAAACGCCUUUGUGUAUAUAUAUUCUUAUUUAUUCUCUCUUUUUUCCUUUUAAUUGAUGAUUAAAUAACCAUUAAUUUAUUAUUUCCUAAAUAAUUCAUUUAUUAGAUGUUCUUGAGUUAUGUGAUAAUGACAAAUAAUAGUAUAGAUCUUUAAGGAAUUUUUUUACUGUACCUUCAACAAUUUCAUGAUCAGUAGAGAAAACUUGCAUGAAUACUCAAUUAACAUGUGUUGUUUAAUCUGUACUAACAAAUACAAUUAACGUGUGUUGUUUAAUCUGUACUAACAAAUACUUAUAACAAUAACUUUGCAGAAACAUAAACACAAGUUUAAAACAUGUACUCAAAAACAAUAAUUAAUAACAUAAGCAUAAAUUAAUGACUGUAAAAAAAUAUACCAGGAUCUGUAAUAAUAGGAUGAAACAUAAAGGAAAAAAUUGUACACGAAUAUUUAAUUGUGCAGGUUAAGAAGAAGUUCAAAAUUUUCGUUUUUUUAAAAUGAGAGGAAAUCACUCUAUUUAUAGCUAGACAACAAAGGGUAGUGUGAGCAAAUGUUUAUUGUGUCUUAUCGGAAAGGUCACAACUCUUUGGAAAAGUUACAAACCCUUUGGAAAGGUCAUAACCUUUCAUAAAAGACACAACUUUUCAUAAAAGUCGCAACUCUACAUAGAAGUUACAACUUUUCAUAAAAGUCGCAACUGUUCAUAUAAGUCGCAAUUUUUCAUAAAAGUCACAACUUUUCAUUAAAGUCGCAAAUUUUUAUAAAAGGGGAAGGAUAGUUUUGUAAAUAUAUUAAUUAAAAAAGGAAUCCUGGUUUGUGAUGGCGCCACGUAGGCAGGCCUAGGGUUCUCUUUUAUAUAUAUACUAGUUUCUGAACACGUGCGUUGCACGUGUUUCAAACAAGUAGUAUACACGAUAAAAGUUAUAUUAAAACCAUAGUGUAAUCAAUAACGAAAAAAAGGUACAAACUAAAAUUGAUGAACGUAACACUCAUCCAAUUUGAAUGACUUAUUCGUUUAGCGAUAAAUAAUUAAUUACUAUCAGAACUACAAAAUUGAAUAAUUAUAUUUAGUUAGAUAAGUAAAAUGUAUAAAAUGAGUCACAUUUUAAUGUUAUUAGGUGCAAAUAUUUUAUUUAUAAAGAAGUAUUAGUAUUAAAUAUUUGCACCUAAUAACAUUAAGUAUUAAAUUUCAAGACAUAAUAUUUGAAUAAUGAAUUGUGAUGCUCAUACCAAAUAGCAAAACAAUGAAUCUAGAAAAUACUUUUAAAACAAAAAAACUUAGAUAUGAUAUUUAAAAUAUUUAAAACUUCUUGUUAAAAUUUACAAAAACGCAAAUAAUAUAUGCUUAUUAAGAAUUUAAAACUAAUUGUUAUAAUCUUAACAAUUGUGCAUGGAAACAAAAGCACCCAAAACAAAUGAAAUUCCAAUACAUGUGAAAUCAAAGUAUUGUAAUUCUAAGUAACUAAAUAUGCCAUGCAUACUUCUCAUCUCUUCUUUUAUGCAAACUAUUAGAAGGCAUAAAAAAACAAUGAAAAUCGAAGAUAAAAUAAUUUGCAUUCAAUCUUAAAAAGUUACAAAGAGGAGAUGGGGAAAAUUAGUAAAACUCAUUUAACCUUUAUAUAAUGUUUUUCCCAGUCCUUUGAAAUUUCAUUUCAUUUAUUUACUAAUGAAUUGAUUUACUAAUUAAUAUUCAAUUCAACUUUUCAACUUCUUUGUACUUACUGUAGCAAUGAAAGGUUGGCUAUUGGUUAACGUAACAAUUAAAUAAUUGAACCACCAAUGUUUCAUAUAAAGUUAUGGUUAUUAUAAGUAUUAAAUGCAAACAUUUUCUUUUUAUUGUAUGAAAUGCGUGUAUUUGUAUUUUUAUAUUAUAAACUUUUUGAAAUAAUAGUUGCUUGAAGGUUAAAAUGAUGUUUAACUUUUAAUAGGCGAUUUGGUAAUUCAAUUUUUCAUUUGGAAAGUUUCUACUUGAUAUAAUAUGAUAAUGAUCAAAAAUUUAAUAUAAAAUGAAUAAAGCAAAGAAUAAACAGGGAAAGAAAGAAAGAUGAUUGUCAUCAAUCCCUAUUAAAUCAUUGAAUUAAGUGUGAUAAUUAAAGUAUUAUUACUCCACUUUCAAAUCAUCCGUUCAAUUCAUGUUAUUGAAAACUAAUUUAAUUGAAGAUUUAUUUUAAUUAUGGUGUAAAUAAAAAUUAGUUUAUAAAAAAUGAUUUAGUAUAAGGGCAAAAUGGUAAAUCAACUUUGAAGACAAGAGCUUCCCACUUUUAAUAAUACUAGAAGAAAAAUGUGAAUUACAUGGAGAUUUUUUUCUUGGAAUUAGUAUCAAAAUUCGCAGAUAACUUAUUUCCUGCAAAUUUUCAUAUUAAUCCCCAGGAAAAUCCCCAUGUAAUUCACCAUUUUCUUGUAGUGUUGUACCAAAUUAUAAUAAAAUAACAGUAAAGAAAAUAGGUUGUACCCUGCUUCUUGCACUUAACUUUAUCCCACGAACAAUAGACAGAAAGGUGUCAUAUAAUCCUUACAUAUCACUAUCAAACCAAAUUCUCCCAACUGACAUAUUCUCCCACAACAAUAUUAUAUUCCCUCAAGUCCAAUUUUCAUCAGUGACUCCGUUUCUAAUGUUUUCCAAUUCACUUUUUCGACCUCCUUUUCACUAUUCAUUAUAUAAUAAUUGAUAUGAAACAACCCACAAUGUAAACAAGAUUUAAGAGACGUGAUUGAUUUACUUGAGUCGCUCACGUUCUUCUUUCGUUCACGCCGCUUUCUGUUAUUCUUCUUUUCCGUUCUUUCCCUUUUCUUCUACAGAUUAUUUUCACCCUAAUUAUUAUAUGACUAAUUAUAAGAGUGGUGGAAUUGGCUCACUACUAGUUUUAAUGCUAUCUUCUUUAACCACCAACUACAUUAAUUAUUAAAACUACCCCACUAAUUUCAUAAUGUAAUUACGAAUAGUCCAAAAUACCCAUUUAGAAUCUAUCGAACGAGUCUUUUAUGAAAUAAAAAGAUCUAGUACUCAAAACGACUAAAUGGGUCGUUACACAAUGUAACUCUUUAACUUUCAAAAUGAUAGGAGGUGAAAAGGUGAAAACAUUUUCUUUUUCAAUGAAUACAUUCAUUAUACUAAUAAUUCACCAUUUAAUAAACUUCUACCUAAAAAUGUUUUUUAGCAUAAAACAUGUAGGAAGUAAUUUUAAACAGUAAAAGGUAAAGGGUUAAUUAGUUUCUCAUUUAAUUAAUUCGAUUCAUUUAUUAGUAUAGGUAAAUUUAUUAUUUAGUACCAAGUAGUAUAAGAAUAGUAUUAAGAUGAAGGGUAAAAAUGUAAUUUGAUUUUUUAGGAAUAUUUUGUAAUUCAAUUUUAUAAGUUUUGGGGCUUCCCACUUAAUAAUUAUUAUUUAUAAUAAUAAAAAAAAUUUGACUUAACACCUUUCCAUUAUUAUUAUAGAUUAUAGAUGAUAAAUAUUAAUAAAUUAGAUAUUUAAUUAGGAAUUAAUCUUAGGAAGUCUAAAAGUCAUUUAACAUUUUUAAUUUAAAACUUAUACAAUCAAAUAUUUAAAUAUUUUAUAACAAUUUAAUUAAUAGAAGGGGUAAAACUGUAAUUCAACUUUCAACUUUUUUUGUUCAUGCUUAUAGUAAUAUAUAUGAUAUGAUAUAUAUAUAUAUGAUUAUUUACUGUGGUCGUUUUCUGAUAUGAUCACAAUAAGAUAUAACCGUCUAUUAUCUUUUAAACUUGUUUUUCUUUUUAGUUUGCAAUAUAUUUUGGAUUGGUAACAUUAGUAGUAUUAAAUUGUUAACAGCACUAGUUUGCAAUAUUUUUGGUUUCUGCAAACAUUAUUAGCACAUAUUGAAAGAGAUAUAUAUGAUAUGGUUUCAUUGAAUUAUAUCCUCUACAUAAGCAGUGAAGACAAAACAAAGUACUAAUGUUAUUUAAAUUGUCUCUAAAAUUUUGAUGAUUUAAUAAACUUUGAGAUCUAAAGAACGACCAGAUUCCAAGAGAGAUUGAGAGUUCUGUUUAUGAAAAAAACAGCGGUCUAAAAGCAGCAACACCUGCUGUGGUUGGUGCACGUAUUUUGCAGCAGACAUUCAGCCAAUGGCAGGGCAUUGCUUCAAGAGUUUGGGUCCAUCCUAUAAUACACCUCUUUGACAUUGACACAAACUCAAGUUUUUGCAAUAUAAAAAUUCAUAACAGCAAAAGUCAUUCUCUCAAGGAAAUAUUUCUCGAUAAAUGAUAGAGUUAUCAUCGUUCUUAGGUGUUUUUAGGGCUUAUAUUUCUGUGCUUAUACUUGUAAGAUUUAUUCCUACGUUAUAAAGGAAUCAGAUCAUUUGAAGUUUUUUCUGAGUAUUCCGAGUUAUAGCUAGAGUUAGUUAUGUUGUAUUCUUGAAUUCAAGAUCAACUAUAGCUAGUUGAUUUAGUGGGUCAUAGAGUUAUUGCUUAGUUUUUGAGUAACAGAGUUGUUACUAUGAGGGGAAGGGAUUAAGAGUUUAAUUCCUAGGCUACAAGGGUUUGUAAUAUGAAGCUUUGCACUUUUGAUGAUAAUGGAGUUGGGUUAAAUCCUGUGAGACAGACCGUGGUUUUUCCUCCCUUGAACAAGGGGCAUUCCACGUAAAACUCUUGUAUUUGUUUUACUUUGUGUUAUUUAUUUUCCACAAUUUUUCUUUCAAGGGACUUGGUCCAUUGACCAUUAGUGGACGCAUACAUUCUAUGAGUAAUAAUAAGAUUGAAAAAGAAACCACUAAGAAAAAGUAAGGGUUAAAUCCAUCAAAUGGAAUCCUGGAGCCACCUCUUGAUGCUAAUAUUCUGGCCAAGAUCAGUAACAAAGAUAUAAUGUAAUCUGGUUUAACUAACCCUAAAGCUAGCUCAUCUCUGUGCAAUCUCAUAUAGGGCCCUAUUCAGGUGUGUCACAAUUAUGGUAGUAGCUAUAUGUGUCAUCUUUCUUCAAUUGUGUCUGUAAUGGUUUCAUGAACUGGAGUUCCAGGUUCUGUUGUAGAGAACCCUUCAGCAGCAGGGGAUACUCCUAGUCCGUCGGAAAUUCUGAUUUCUGGGAUUUGCGAAGGAAGGUCAGGCAAUAUCUCAGGAGAAGCUUCACUUGCUGCGAGCAGUGUAGGUGCAUUGCUUCCAUUGCUUUCAGAUGGCUCUUCUGACAUAGAAUUAGAGCUGUCUUUCUCUUCAUCAAAGACUUUUGCAAUUGCAGUAAGCUUUUGCCAUAUUGAAUCAUCAGUGGCUAAGAUUUCUCUAUUCUGAUAAAGGAGGAUGAGGAAGAAUAGGAGAAGAGCGGAGCCUGCUGAAACACCAGCUAUGAGGAAAAGUCCCUUAAAACUAUCUAACGUGAGGCUAUCAGAUGUUAUUGCCGUUUCAUCUUUCUGUGGACAAUCUGUUUCAUUCCCAAACCAUUUCUGUAUUAUGUUAUUCAUAAACUCUCCCUCCAUCACCUUCAAGACUGCUCUUGAGACGUCAGGUACCAAAGGAGAUCCUUUUGGAAAUGCCUGCAAUAAAAGAUUAGAUGAUUGAGUAAACAACAAAUCAUUCUAAAUAUAUAUGUUAACAGUGUCUGAAACAUCAGUGGAGUGUACAAUCUUACAAACCCAAAGCCGGCAGCCUUGUAUGUCUGGCCGACCAUAAUAUACUUCCUGCAGUACUUGUUGAGGAAGAGUCUGAGAUAAGGUAGUUCAUCAACAAUUGCACCUACACCUCCAAUUUUUUGCUUCCUCUUGAGAGUGCAUCAUUAUACUCUUCCAAUGUGCUAUAAUUUCUGAACUUGGAGCUGUCAAAUUUCAUGUGCUUUAUGAAGACGUCUUUGACAAAGGAACCUUCUUGGUACCCAACAUAUUCUCCAUUCUUGAUGAGAUCAUUGAGGUCUGUUAUAGUAGGUUGGAGCUGUUGCAGUGUCAACAUAGAUGUUAAGCUGGCUGUAUAACUUGAUGUCAGCACCAGAACCACAAAAACCCACACAAUCAGCAAAAAUCUUGUUAAGUUACUUGUUACCCUCUCUCCUGCAACAACCAGCCAUAUAUAUGAUUUGUUGAGACACAAGGAAAAAUCCUAUAUCUUUCGUAUAUAAUAAUAUGCUUUGAGUUAGUGUCUUACUAUGAGCAAAAACGAGAGUUGAGAAGGAAAACCAAAAUAUCAUCCCAACUUGGUUGCGUUUGGGUCCUCGGAACUCUUUGUUUACACGAUGUUCGAGUACCCAAACCACAAAACCAAUGAAAACGAAGAAUGCUCCAGUUGUUAUCCAAAGCUCGCUCUUUAGAGGUUUCAAGAAAAUCCAAGCAUCCCUCCUAUCAUCAUCCCUUACCGGCACAACUACAGAAAUACCUGACUCUAUAAAAGGUAAUGUGAAAUCCACAUACUCUGACCGGCUCGCUAAAAUGGUCACAUCACCUACAACUGCAUCAUAGUCCUGGCUCAAGCAAACAUUGAUUAUUCCAGUAUGUAUAGUUGAUUGUAAUAGCAGAAAAUAGAUAUCGAAGUCCCAAAAAGGGCCAUGUUAGUAAGAUAUAGAGCCAAAGAGGUUUAUUGGAACAGAGAUUAUAUAUUACCUGAGAGGUGAUCUUGUGAACAAGAUCAUCAUAGUCUGGAAGAGUGAGGGGAUCUUGUAUUGGAAAUGGAAUAAAUUCGUAAGGGAGAGCAUAUGGCAAAGAUAGGAUGACUUCUUUGAAGACAUCUGCACAGAAACCAGUUGCUGUUACUGCUUGUGUUUUUGAAUCUCUUUCCACUUUAAUGAGUUGCUCCAGCCCUCCUUUGAGAGGAACUCCAACCCUUAACUUCUUCCCACUUGUGGGCAUUUCCCAGCCUCUUGGAACAAUAGUUGAUUCACCAGGCCAAAAAAUGGCUCCUAGUUGCUUAUUAUUACACUUAACUGCUGUUUUACCAUUCAUCUUCAGUUUACACGAAAUGCCAUCCCUCUUCGUCCAAAAUCCAAUGUUUUUCUCUCCUUUCCCAAUUAUAUUCACAAUCUGAUAUGGGAUUGGCUGCAGUUCUCCAUUGAUGAUACGGAAAUCACCACUUAAUCCUUGUUUUAGCACUGUGUUUCGCAUAGAGUCAAUGAGCAGAGAUCCCACUGCUGACGUUCCAAGUGCAUCUAAGUCUGUUAAGUUCUCUCUGGUGUCUGGUUUCUUUAAUUUUGGGAUAGCAGUAGUGCCUACUUUAUCUACUGCUUCUGCUAAUGAGGUGAUGCUAUCGUAUGCCCAUAGCCCAAAAACAUUGAGUUCUAUUUGGUCCAUGUCUGGAUACUCUUGACGGAAUCUCUUUCUCCAUCUCUUUGUGUAGUUGUUAAGCUGAUUUGAUCUUGGAAUGUAAGGUUUUAUACCAAGAACACCUUGCAUUGAUGACUCGAUCACUGAAUGAUCUACCAAGUCCAGAAGACUCGUUAGCACAUCUGUGAUGAUCCAUGCAUAUCCACUGCUCAUCAUCCCUGCUUCUUUGGCCUUGAGAAAAAGGCGGGAGGCAAGAUAUGGACGCAAGUGCACGACGAACACCCUUGUUUGCUUUGUAUUCAUAUUGUAUAACUCCUUGAGAAUCUGAUCAUCAUUGGCUGACGGAGAAAUAACACUUCUAUAGGAGACUAAAGUGCUGAUUUCCAGUAAGGCAUCAGUCAAAUGUGGAACUAUCCCGAACCCAUAGGGGCUAUCCUCAUAGAUGACCACAACCUCCCUCCAAUCAAAGUUUUUAACAAGUGCUGCAAUGGCCUUAGUCUGGCUGGAAGAAGGAAGUGCUGCUCUGAUGAAGAAGGGAUUUUCCUUGACUGUAAGUAAAGGACUUGUUGCUGGAGAAAUGAUUGGGACUUUUACUCUGUUCCCUAAGUCGAUCACAAAAUCAGUUUGUGUAGACAUUUGUGGCCCAAAGAUAGCUUGUACUUGGACAUCCUUUAGCAAGUAUAUGGCUGCACAUACACAAUCAGACAAUAAGAAUUUACCCAAAGUAAGAGUUUAAUAGAAGUGAAUCAUGGAACUGAAUUUACCAGCAGAUGUUGCUUCAACAUCAUCUUUCUUGGAAUCCUUGAUAUGAGGAACUAUCCUUAUGGCACCGCGACUAGCGUUGGCAUGAUAAUCUUCAAGUGCUAGUAAGAUAGAUAUGUGCAUUACUUUUCCCACAUCUGUUUCCAGAUCAAGAAUUAUACCCACAUCCACCUUUACAGCACUAGUGUUAUUAUCUUCACCUCUUAUUCGAACCACAUAGUGGUAAAAGCUAAUGAUGGAGAUAAGUUGAAAUGAAAAGAAUUAGAAAAGUGGCAUCUUGGAUUAUGCAUUUGAAAAAACUCUGGUAGCAAGUAGUCUGAGAGAUGGGCAACAAGCAGUUGUGCUUGUGCAAGAUAACCACACAUUCAGAAUGACAAUUUUCCUAUAAUUAAUAAGACCAAACUCCAUAAAUGAAGAAAGAAAAGUCAAAGAACAAAUGGUUGAAAAUCAAGUAUUCGUUUGAUUAUUGAAAGUGAGGACUUUUCACAUAUGCUACAACCGCACAGCUAGUAAGCAUAUUACCCCUCAGGUUUGACUAAAUAAAAAUUUGACAAAAUUGAUUGGUACUCAUUCCCCAACACCCAAUUACUUUUUGUGUGUACUAUCUAGAGGAUAUAUUCAAGGGAACUUACAUGAAUUCAACUAAUUUAGGAGUUAAUUACUUAAAUACAUUGUAGUUUGCAAUAUUACGUAUUUUACUAGAUUUUGGUAUGUCCAGAUACAUUCAGAUACAUAUAUGUGAGGUUACUUAGGAUCAAAAUUAGGUGUAAUUUGCUCUAGAUGCAUUGUAUCUAAGUGACUUUGCAUGUAUCUGGGAUACAUAACAAAUCUCGCUCGCCUCUCUCCCAUCUCUCACUCUCCUAUGUAUCUGAUAUUCCAUAUACAUGUGAAUCACACCAGAUACAUACACAUAAAUGUAUCUUAUGUGUAUAUAGUGUGAUUCGCAUGUAUCUGGGAUACAUAACAAAUCCCGCUUGCCUCUUUCCUCAUCUCGUUCCCCUAUCUUCCUAUUUUUGUGUAUCUGAUGGCAAAAAUUCAUGUAGCCAAAUGUAUUUUCCUCAAUAUAUGAUAGGAAACUCUUAAUUAGUGAUAGUAUACGAAAUAUUUUAAAAGUAUAGAAUAUAAUAGUAUAUAUGAUAGUGAAGUAUGUCUAAUGAUAUAGUUUUUCUGUAUUGAAAGGACUUCCCAAAUUUUGGCUGAGGCAUAAAAAGUUGACAAAUUUAGCUCAGUUACAAAUUCCACAAUUAAACCAAUAAGUAGAAGAGACCAUUGUUUUCCAACUUGGACAAGGCUAGAUACGACUAGUAAUCUUUAGUUUACGCGUUUUCAGUUACUAGUCUUUGGACACGUGCGUUGCACGUAUAUCCCAUAUUAUAUGGUUGCAUAAUAUAUGUCUAUAGUUACAAAUAUAUGUAUAAAAAAAAAUUGAUUGUGAUAUAAAUUGGAAAACAUGUAUAAGAUAAGAAAUCAAAACAGAUACCCUCAAAUUUCAAACUAUAAGCAUAAUAAGAAUAUGUAUUUCUAAUGAGUUUAAUCAAUCAUACCUUGCAAUAAUCUCUGCAAUUCAUUGAGAAACUUUCAAUCCAUACAUCAACAUUCAAUCGUGUAUAUAUAAAGAAAACUUGAAAUGCAUAACAACAAUUAUAUCUAUAUUUUUUAAAACACUAUAAAGUCAUUUUUUCUUUUUGCAUUAUAAUAUGGAUUGCACACAAUUUCUAUUAAAAAAAAGAAAGACAAAAUUAGGAAAAAUCGUAUCAAUAAAUUGGAAUGAAAAAUGUAAAAUUGUAAUAAGAGGAAGAGAAGAAAAAUACAGUAGAAUAUAUUACCUAACCAUGAAUAAGGAAGUAUGUUGAGUAAAAGAAGAGUAAUGCAAAAGUGUGAACUGAUAUAUGGAGGAAAUUGACAAAUAUAAUAAUCUAUAUUGAAUAAUGAAAAACAACUCUUCAAUUUCUGCAAAAAUUUUAUAACUACGAGCUCAAAAUAAUAUAAAUUUAUUAAUUUAAUAAAUGACAUAAAUAAAUAAAUAACAUAUAUUGUGUGUAUGUGUAGUUAAUGGGGUAGUGAAAAAGACUCUUUCUGAAAUUAUUUUUAUCUCUUUAAAGUAAUUUUGAACUUUUGAUAUUAGUGCUAUAGAAAAUCAUAUAAAGUCAUAAGCCACUGCAAGUUUUUAUAGUAAUUAUCUUAUUAAAUUAUAUACCUAUUAUUAUUUUUAAUUAUUUAUAAUCAUUCCGAAAAUGUAUAAAUUAAUUUUGAAAAGCUUGUAAAAUGAGAAAUUAUUAUUUCUUAUCAUUAUUUUAGCUAUUAUUAACAUUUAGUAUGACAACAUUUUAAAAAAGCAGCUUCCUUUAAAUAUUAAUUGUUUCUAAAUUAACAUAGCCAAGAAUUUAAAAUGUUGUGACGUUUUGUUUAUCUAAACACGCAGAAUUUUGUUUUUGAACCUGGAACAUGUAAUUAAGCCUUGGGUGAAUUAUAAUUUUAUUUUUACUAUUUAAUUAAUUAAAUAAUUUGUAACAUUUUAAUAUAAUGAAGGGGUAAAAUGGUAACUCAACUUUAAAGGUUGGAGCUUCCCACUUUUAGUAAUAUAUGAUAAAUUGGUCAGUAGUAGUAACCUAGUUUAAUUUGAUAUAAUAACAUUCAUGACAAAAUAAAUUAAAUAUGGCUAAUUAAGAAAAUAUAAUUAAAUAUGAUUAUCUUUAAUGUUAUUUAAAUUUGUAGGCGAUUUUUUUUGUAUUUUAAAAUUAAAAAAAGGCCAAAAAACCCACAAAAAGAGAUAAAUAGGAUUGAAGCCCUUAGAGAGCGUCACCUCACCGUUUUCAUAUUCAACUUUAUUAUUAUAUAUGGAUUUAGAUUUUUGCACAACCUUAAAUUUAAGGACACAUUUAGAUAUUAUAUCAAACAUUCAUUUAUUUGAAGUUGAAAUUACAUUUUACAUGAAAAUUGGAUAUUCCAUAUUCACAUUGAGUAUGAAUCUUUUUGUUUUUUUUACAAAAUUCAAAAUAAAAAAAUACAAAACAUAAACUUAUAGAUCAAAUUUUACAUUUGACAUUUGAAAGUUUUACUUUUCAUUAAACGUUUUGUUAUAGAAUUUGGAAUCGCCCUUUGAAAUUAGUAUUUAUAAAUGAAAAUAUUGAUCUAGUCCUGUUGAAAUUGUGUCUGGCCUAGUACUUUUUCUUAUUAGAGUGAUUAUUGAAUUAGGUUUAAUAUCAAUUUUCUUAAUUAGUUUUGUCAAUUGGCAGUGCUAAGAAGAUGGGAAUUUACGUUAUAUUAAAUUAUCUUUACAUUAAUAAAAAAAGAAAUUGUUGUUAGUAUUAUUUGUAAUAUAAUUAAACAAAAAUAACAAUGGGAAGAAAAUAAUAAGUAAAGAUUACACGUUGUAUUAAAAUAAUAAGUAUUAAAAAUUAUGAUAAAUUUUAUAAUAGUCAUAACAGGAAUUUACGCAAUAAUUACUAUAUUAGAAUACUAGAAAAAUUGAUAAGUUCCUCGACAUCUAAUCAUUGAUUAAAAUUUAAAUUAUUAUUUUCUUCUGCGAAAGUUUAAGAGAUUAAAUUAAUGUUUUAAAAAAUAAUAUUAAUUAUUUUCAAUGAUUAAUAAGAAAAUGUAUAUAGCAAGUACAUGUAUUAUUAUUACAUUAUUUAUAUCCACUCUAUAUUAAAUCAUUUUUCUAUUAUAGUUUGACGCAAAUUUCAGAAUGUAAAGAAUGUUUUGGAUUCGAAAAAUAAAUAUUCAAAAUAUACUAACAUGUCAUUUAAUCUUAUGAUAUUUUACAUUUCAUGUGAAAAAAAAUUAAAUAUUAAUUUUUUAAUAUGAAAAAUAUUAAUUUAUUAAUACAACAUAAAAGUAAUAAAGGACAAUAUAUAAAAAUAUUUGAAGUAUUUGAUAUUUUAUUAAAUUAAAAUAAUUCUAAAUUAAUAUAUAGCCGCGCAACGCGCGGGUACGUAUACUAGUGAAGAACAAUAAUAAAGAAGAAGACAAUUGAGUUAAUAUUUAUUUUUUCCAAGUUUAAUUUAACACAUGACCAGUUUUUAUUGGUCAGUGCUGUCAAAAAGUUGCACCCACGCGCCUAAAAUAGGUGAAAUCACGGACUCAGCCACGUAGGCCAAAAAGUGGUAAACAAUUAACUAAAAAAUAAGUUCAGGGGGGUAAUAGGACUUUAGUAAAGGUUAGGUGUGUCUCAGGGAUUUUGGGCAUAGGCUGGGGGGGUACUUAUGCAUUUUCCCUUAUGUUAAAUAUACCAAAAUGUUUUUUAAUCUUAUGACUUUAAACAUGUCACGUGAAAAACUGAAAUUAAAGUGUUGCCAAAAAAAGAAGGGUCAUUUUUUUUAAACAGACUAAACAGAAAAGUAGAUCUUUUUAAAACGGAAGGGAAGUAAUUGUUAAUGCAAGAGGAAGCUGCUUGAAAAGUUACGUAUAUGAUGUUGAAGUUGUCUAACAUGCAAUGCUGGUCCUAUAAUCUUUCAUUAUUUAUUAUCCAUGACUAUGGGUGGAUAAUAAUAGUUAUCUGCUAUGAUCAUAUAUACCUAGGGGUGGACAUAUUACUUAGAAAACUUAUGUUAGGUAAUUUUGAUUUCUAAAAAUACUAUAUGGUGUAUGCUAUUUGCAGAUGAUAGUCCUAAUCGACCAGACUCGUAAUAGAGUUAAUGUUAAGCUAGAGAAGAUAAUAAUGGCUCCCUUCUCAAAUAUUUCAUUGGUAGAAAUUUGCCUUCCAGAAUUUCAUAAUUGCAUCUGAUCCUUUCUGAUAACUCAAAGGGCAUCUUAAAUUGGUGCGGAAGUUUAAUUUUGACAUGGAACGCAAAUAUAUGCGGAAAAUUAGUAAUUCAAUAAAUAUUUAAUUAUGAAUGCAUAUUACAAAAGUGCAAGGAAUUCAAUUGUAAGAUGUUGAAGGUUAAACCCAUAAAUUCUAAAUACUAGAGACGCCUCUUAAUGCAAAUAUAAUAUGGUUUAACUAUUUUAAACCUGGCUCAUCUCUCUUAAGUUGUCCCUGUAAUGUUUUCAUGAACUGGAGUUCCAGGUUCUGUUGUAGAGAACCCUUCAAGUGCAGGGGAUGCUCCUAAGCCGUCGGAAAUUCUGAUUUCUGGGCUUUGCAAAGGAAGGUGGGGCAAUAUUUCAGUAGAGGCUUCACUUUCUGCAAACAGCAUAGCUGUUUGGAUUUCAUUGCCUUCAGAUGGCUCUUCUGACAUAGAAUUAGAGUUGUCUCUCUCUUUAUCAAAGGCAUUUGCUAUUGCAGAAAGCUUUUGCCAUACUGAAUCAUCAGUGGCUAAGAUUUCUCUAUUCUGAUAAAGGAAGAUGAGGAAGAAUAGGAGAAGAGCGGAGCCCGCUGAUACACCAGCUAUGAGGAAAAGGCCCUUAAAACUAUCGAGCAUGAGGCUAGAUGCUAUAGCCAUUCCAUCUUGCUUUGGACAAUCUGUUUCAUUCCCAAACCAUUUCUGUAUUAUGUUAUUCAUAAACUCUCCUUCCAUCACCUGCAAGACUGCUCUUGAGACGUCAGGUACCAAAGGAGAUCCUUUUGGAAAUGCCUGCCAGAAGUUGGGGGAAAAUAAAAGAUUAAAUUAUUGAGUAGAACAUAAACCAUUCUAAACAAAUGUAAACACGUUCUGAAACAUCACUGGAGUGCAACAUUCUUACGAAUCCAAAGCCAGCAGCCUUGUAUGUCGGACCGACCAUAAUAUACUUCCUGCAAUACUUGUUGAGGAAGAGUCUGAGAUAAGGUAGUUCAUCAACAAUUGCACCAACACCUCCAUUUUUACUUCCUCUUGAGAGGGCAUUACUAUACUCUUCCAAUGUGCUAUAACUUAUGAACUUGGAACUGUCAAACUUCAUGUGCUUCAAGACAUCUUUGACAAAGGAACCUUCUUGGUACCCAACAUAUUCUCCAUUCUUGAUCAGAUCAUUGAGGUCAGUUAUAGAAGGUUGGAGCUGUUGCACUGUCAACAUAGAUGUUAAGUUGGCUGUAUAACUUGAUGUCAGCACCAGAACCACGAAAACCCACACAAUCAGCACAAAUCUUGUGAAGUUACUAGUAACCCUCUCUCCUGAAACAACCAGCCAUAUAUAUGAUUUGUUGAGAAACAAGGAUAAAUCCUAAAGCUUUUUGUAUAUAAUUUGCUUUGUGUUAGAGACUUACUAUGAGCAAAAACGAGAGUUGAGAAGGAAAACCAGAAUAUCAUCCCAACUUGCUUGUGUUUGGGUCCUCGAAACUCUUUGUUUACACGAUGUUCAAGUACCCAAACCACAAAACCAAUGAAGAUGAAGAAUCCUCCUGUUGUUAUCCAAAGCUCGCUCUUUAGAGGUUUCAAGAAAAUCCAAGCAUUCUUUCUAUCAUCAUUCUUUACCGACACAACAGCAGAAAUACCGGACUCUGAAAAAGGUAAUGUGAAAUCCACAUACUUGGCUCGGCUCGCUAAAAUGGUCACAUCACCUACAACUGCAUCAUAUUCCUGGUUCAAGCAAACAACGAUUAUUUUAGUAUAUAUGGUUGAUCUCAGUCAAAGAAGAAAGUAGAUAUGGAAGUCCCGGAAAGGAGCAUGUAAGGUAUUCAGCCAAAAAGGUUAAUUCAAAAAAGAAUUGGAUAUUACCUUUGAGGAGAUCUUGUAAACAAGAUCAUCAUAGUCUUGAGAAGUGGGGCUAACUAUUGGAAAUGGAAUAAAUUCGUAAGGGAUGGCGUAUGGCAAAGAUUGGAUAACUUCUUUGAAGACAUCUGGAAUGAAACCAGUUGCAGUUACUGCUUGUGUUUUGGCAUCUAUUUCCACUUUAAUGAAUUGCUCCAGCCCUCCUUUGACAGGAACUCCAACCCUCAACUUCUUCCCACUUGUGGGUAUUUCCCAGCCUCUCGGAACAAUAAUAGAUUCACCAGGCCAAAUGAUGGCCGCUAGUUGCUCAUUCAUACUCUUAGCUGUUUUACUAUUCAUCUUCAGUUUAUGCGAAAUGCCAUCCUUCUCGGUCCAGAAUCCAAUGCUUCUCUCUCCUUUCCCAAUUAUAUUCACAAUCUCAUAUGUGUAUAGCUGCAAUUCUCCAUCAAUGAUACGGAAUUCACCACUUAGUCCUGUUUUUGGCUUUGUAUUUCGCAUAGAGUCAAGGAGCAGAGAUCCAAAUUCUGAGGUUCCAAGUGCAUCUAAGUCCGUUAAAUUCUCUCUAGUGUCUGCUUUCUUGAAUUUUGGGAUGAUGGUAGUGCCCACUUUUGCUAUUGCUUUUGUUAAUGCGGUGAUGCUAUCAUAUGCCCAUAGCCCGUAAACAUUGAGUUCAACUGGGUCCAUGUCUGGAUACUCUUGACGGAAUCUCUUUCUCCAUCUCCUCGUGUAAUUGUUAAGCUCAUUUGAUCUUGGAAUAUAAGGUUUUAUACCAAGAACACCUUGCAUUGAUGACUCAAUUACUGAAGUAUCUACCAGGUCCAGAAGACUCGUUAGCACAUCUGUGAUGAUCCAUGCAUAUCCACUGUUCAUCAUCCCGGUUUCUUUGGCCUUGAGGAAAAGGCGGGAGGCAAGAUGUUCUUGCAAGUGCACAAUGAACACCCUGGUCUGCAUUGUCUUCAACUUGUAUAGCUCCCUGAGGAUUUGAUCAUCAUUGGCUGAAGGAGAAAUACCACUUCUAUAGGAGACUAAAGUAUUGAUUUCCAGCAAGGCAUCAGUCAAAUAUGGAAGUAUCCCGGUUCCAUAGGGGCUUUCCUCAUAGAUUACUACAACCUCCCUCCAAUUAUAGUUUUUAACAAUUGCUGCAAUGGCUUUAGUCUGACUGGAAGAAGGAAGUGCGCCUCUGAUGAAGAAGGGAUUUUCCUUGACUGAAAGUGAAGGACUAGUUGCUGGAGAUAUUAUAGGAACUUUAACUCUGUUCCCCAAGUCGAUCACAAAAUCAGUUUGUGUAGACAUUUGUGGCCCAAAGAUAGCUUGCACUUGGACAUCCUUUAGCAAGUAUAUGGCUGCACAUACACAAUCAGACUAUAAGAAAUUGUCUGAACAUCUCUUUUUCAAAAUAGGAAAAGUAAUAUCUUAGAGAAAAAGUGAAUCUUUUGAAGCAAAGAGAGAAAAAUAAUCCUAGUUUAACAUAAGUAAAGCUUAGAGCUGAAUUUUACCAGCUGAUGCUGCUUCAACAUCAUCUUUCUUUGAAUCCCUGAUAUGAGGAACUAUCCUUAUGGCACCGCGACUAGUGUUGGCAUGAUAAUCUGCAAGAGCUAGUAAGAUAGAUAUGUGCAUUACUUUUCCCACAUCUGUUUCCAGAUCAAGAAUUAUGCCCACAUCCACCUUUACAGCACUAGUGUUAUUAUCUUCACCUCUUAUUCCAAUUACAUAGUGGCAAAAGCUAAUGAUGGAAACAAGUUGAAUGAAAAUAAUUAGGAAUUUGCAUCUUGGAUUAUGCAUUUGAAAAACUCUUGUAGAAAGUAAUAUGAGUGUUGGGCAAGAAGCAGUUGUGCUUGUGCAAGAUUUAUAACCACCAUUCAGAGAUGUGUUUAAAGGUAUCUUAACUAUAACUUUUCUACAAUUAAAUGAGACCAAACCUCAUAACUGCAGAAAGAAAAGUCAAAGUUUUCAAAGAAUUACAAAUGGUUUAAAAUAUACUAGUUUGAUUAUUAAAGAAAGAGGACUUUUCACACUUGUUAGACCACAAGCUAGUAAAGCCUCCUCAGUUUUGACCAAAUCAAUAAAUGACUAAAUGAACAUAGUGACAAAAUUGAUUUGUACUCAUUCUCCCAAUACCCAAAGAAGUUUUUGUAUUCAUUGGAUGACUAUCUAGAGGCUACUAAAAGGACUUCCCAUAUUUUGGCUAAGUCAUGUUGAAAGUUGAGUGCUAGCUCAGUUACAAAUAAGUAGAAGAGGUCAGUUUCUAUGACUUGGACAUUGGAAAAGGGCAGCUAUGACUAGUAAUCUUUAGUUUACUUAGACGGUUCAGUUUAGAAUUGGUCAGUAGUAUAAAACUUUAUGGUGGUAGAGGCACAACUUGUAGGGUUGUUCCGGGUUAUCGUUAAAAAAUCAAAUCAAACUUGUAGGGUUGUUUGGUUAGGUUUUAAAUUUUGAAAAUCAACACUAUUUGGUUUGGUUUGGUUUUAAAACUGUAAAAAUAACCAAAUUGAACGUGUAAUUAUAAUAAUUGCUUGAUUGAAUCCACAGUAACUUUCAUGUGUAUUGUUCAUGUACUAGGUGUCUGUGUUUAUAUGUCUUCAAAAAAAUUAUUACUUCCAAAACAAAAAAACAAAAAAAAUUGAACCAAACCGACAAUUAUUUUUUUAUUUGGUUUUAGAAUUUAGAAACCGACUAAAUUGAUCUGGCUUUGAUUUUAGCCAAUAAUCAAUCCAAAUCGAACCAUGAACACCUCUAGGCACAAAUAUAACUUGGUAUGUGAAGGAUUACUAUAAUACCUUUCCUUCAACUUUUUUUUAAAAAAAAAAAACCUCUAUUGGUAAAUUUUUCAAAUCAGUUUUUUUUACUCAUGAGCUCUAUUCCUUUCCCUUUUAUAUUUUUUAUAAUAUAAAAUAUAAGAUAAAAUAAAGAAUUUUUUUAAAAAGAAAUGAGAAAAAAAAUGAUGAAGAUGAGGGGUGAGGAGCUAAAGGAGAGAAGAAAGAUAGAACAUAAGAUGAGAAAGGUAGGGUCCCCAUAUUUUCUUUAUCAAAAAGUAAUUUCUUACCUACCAAAGUCAUAUUUAUGCCUCUACCACCACAAAUUUUUUCGUAUUAACUUGCUUGCAAGUUGCAAAACCAAACAAAGCAAGCAUACCCAAAUGGAGAUGGAAUCUUGGAAUGAGGAUGGUUGGGUAUACAUGUAGGUUUCAAUGUCAUUAUCUCAAUAUAUAUAUACUAGAGGGGCAUGGCCCGUGCUAAGCACGGGCCCAACAUAAACAUAGUUAGUCUAUUAUUCUCUAUAUAGGCAAAAUAUUGUUGGAAACUAUUCACUUAUAUAAGUAACUAAUUCAAGUUAUGUGUUUGUUAACAAAGUUUAUUCAUUCAAGCAUCUGCAAACUAUACACCAUACCAAACCACCAAUAAAGAAAAAGACAUGAAAUGUUAACACAAAUUAAACAACUUCAAAAGAAAGAAAGAAAAGAAGAAGAAUCAAGGAGGUGAAAGAACAUUAAAAUUUUGCAGUCUUAUCAGUCAAAUUCUAGUGGUGUCACAACUUUCACAGGGACCAUCAACUCUUCAACUUUUUGUACAUAUUUGCUUUUCAGUGCCAAUAAAUUAUUAUCUGUCGUUCCUGCAAGUUUUUGGAAAAAGUGUAUCAACAAUUGAUGCUAAAGAUCAUAUACUUUGUUUUGUAUUUUAUUUUACCAAGUAAAAAAGUCAGUAAUUGAUAUACCUAAUUUACUGCACUUAAGACAUUCUAGCUUCUAAAUCUAAUAAAACAAUACUAAUGAACACUUUUAAAUAAAUGAAAGAUGAUGGUACCUAAGGGAUGGAGUAAAUGAAUCAUGUGAAGUAAGCAAAUUGAAGUCAAAGUGAAUGUGUCAAUUACGUGGCCAUUAUAUCAAAUAUUUGUCAAUUCUAACCAAAAAGAAAUUGUUAGACAGUAAAUUUGUAAAACUUUAUAGAAAAUGACCUUUUAUUUUGUCUAUUUUGCCCUUUCAUGUGCUCCUUCAUGUCGCUUCCCCUUUCCAUUUUGUCGUCCCUCUCAUCUCAAUUCCCGUUUUGUUGUCCUCUCUUCCCAAUACUAUUUUUAUCCAGCUUGAUCUGGAAAAGAGGUAACUGACAUAUUAGUGUACUUAAUUUGGAACAAAAUCACUUGGAGAACAAUAAAGUAGGUAAUAAACACGAACAAUACUUAGACUCUGAAGUCUUGGUGAUAGUUAAGUAGUAGAAUGAGGAAGAGAUUAUACAAAUCAAUAGAGUUCAAACAACAACAUAUCUUAUCAAAUCUUAUCACUACCUCGUGGAGGUAGAGGUACUCUUUCCGAAAGAUCAAAUCACUGAUCUCGAUAGUUAUUGUUGAGUAGUUAAUACAUAAAUCUCUCCAGAGUAACAAAAAAAGGGCAGAUAGGGAUUAAAAGAAAUUAAGAAAAUGAAAUACGAUGCUACAUUUCUCAAGAGUUAAAAAGAGGGACAACCAAUUUGAGUAGUAGAUUCAGGUUGAUGGUGAUCUACUAUACAACUAAAUGGUGCAACAACUCAAAAUCUCAAGGAAAACAAAUCAAGACAUUCUUGCAAAUUAAAGGCACUAAUAAAACUGCGGCAGAAAUUCUCGUGACUGUGUGGUUCUAUAUGGAAAAUGACUUCCACAUGCUUGGUCUUAGCAAUACGCCAUGUGCACAAGGAAAAAUAUAUUAUAACCACGCGUUUCUUGUUACCGAUAAACAUGACUUAUGAGAAAGUCAGUUUUUAAGAGAAUUCGAAGAACAACAGGAUAAGAAACUACCCUUUCAUUUACUUUCUCAAACACUUAAUAAGGCUUCCGUUUUUUCAACAUUCUUGCAGAGUUGAUUGUGGAGAUCAACAAUUCAUCCAUUUGACCAUUAUCACUUGUAGACACACUAAACUGACAAAGAGUCUUAUAUCAGGGGUGUAUAAAUGAAAACCCCUUCUUUUCAUAUCUAUUUGAAUUGAUUAAACUUGUCGCACAACAAAUAGGAUCAACGUUUUCAGUAAUCAAAGGAAAGAAAAAAAUCUACAUCAAAGGCAUGUUAUAUGAAGUAUGUGAAAUAAGGAUUGUAGAAACGAAGGAGAAAUAAAGAUUUGAUUAGCUUACCAUUCAAAGUAAUUGUAGACAAACAAAGAAGAAGUGAAUAUUUGAUCACCGCUUACCGUUCAACUCAACUGUAGACAAACGAAGAAGAAGUGAUUGACCCUUAAUUUGGAAUCAAUUGAUUUUUUACUAUAUCUCGAUAAAAAAUUUAAUUUAUGUAACUCAUUUCUAUAUAAACAACCAAGAUGCUUAGAACAUACAUAACAUAUUCAAUGUGGCUUACUUCUAUAAAAAUCAUAAAUAAAAUAUAAAGGAAAGCUUCAAACUCUACCUAAUUAGUUCAUAUGAUCAGCAAAAUCCAAAAAACUUGAAAAAAGAAACAAAUUUGUACUCUCUUGCAGAAAUAAGUUUUGUCUUUUGGAAACAACCUCUCUAUCUCCACGAAGUAGGGGUAACAGUCUACGUACACUCUACCUCCUCAAACCUCACUUAUGGGAACUACACUGGGUAUGUUGAUGUUGUUGUUGUUGAAAUAAGCACAAAAGACUGGACUCUCACUAAAACUUCCGUAAAGAUCAAAUUCUUAAGUUUCAUUCUGCAACUAAAAAUCCCGAAAAUGAAGAAUCAGAUUACUCACAUUGACAAAAGUGGGGUAAAAAAUAACUUGAGCUUUGCUAUUCAAAACAUCAACAACUUCUUCAAUCCCAGAAAGUCUUUUAAUUGCCUUUAAAUGCCUAGCACUAUUUUUUUAAGAAGAAAUUACUGAACAACCUUAGUGAAAAUUCCAAAUUCGCCAUUGCAUCCAACCCCCGUCCCAUCCCUGGACUAUCCUACACCAGCUACCCUUAAAUCCUCACCCAUCCAUCCCAUUGAGUUUUGCUGGAUUACAACGGCCCCCAUCCCAUCCCUUGACUAUCCUAUACAAAAUGGAAAAUCUCUUCUCCAAGGAGUUAGGAGACAAUAAUCGACAUAACUAUGUCAUCUUAUAUAGGGACAAAAUGAAUACAAUCUCACCCUGUGGUCUUCGAAUCUAUAGUAGACAAACGGUAAGUAAAGAGAUAUUGUAUAACUGCACCAACUAUUCAUUAUUUCUGAAGUAAUACAGUGAGUGCAUCACAUGUUAAAGAAAUAAAAUUAAGUUUAUUACUUUUAUUCAUGAACAUGUACAACUCUUGAGAUGAACUUUAAUUUGUCAGUAAACUAUAAAAUAGAGGUAAUUUGUAAAGGCUUAAGCCUAUUGGAUUAGAUUAUGUUCUCCGUGGGGGCAGUUUUUCUUCAACUCCAAAACUGUAUACGUCACUUCUGGUGGUUAUAUGAUUUACAUAUGAGAGGCGACAAUUAGAAGCUGAGAAAAGAAAUGAUCUCAGGUUACAUGACAGAACAAACCAAGUAAUGUUACACUCCCAAUUUCUUUCAGGACACAUAGUAUUGAUAUUUGCGAGCAUGAAAGACUGAAGGAUUAAACAGAGGAGAUAACUCUUAAGAGAGACCUCAUCAAGAACUUAAGAAAAUUUGUGUGAUAAUUUAACAAAUUUAGCGAGGCUAAUUGAUGAAGGAAGUCUAUUCACACUAUAUUCAUUUUAGUGCACUUAUUGACUAAAUGUUUCCCAAGUUCGAAUGUGAGGCCUCUAUUUGAGGAUGUAAUAAAACAACAUUUACCAUUAGAACUAAUUGAGCAGCUUGUGUUAACCCUCUGUAUUUACCUGACGAAUAUGCUUUAAGGUGGAGGAAUUUUUUGCAGUAGUCUUCUAUUAAAACAUCAUUUAAGCUACCUAAAUGAAUGGACAACAUGUAGUUUUUCGACGCAGAAACAAAAAAUCUACCUAACAAAGAGACAGAUAUAUCAAAGAAGCCACAGGUCGAUAAUCAGAGUGUCCUAAAGAGUUACAUUUACAAAAGUUGAGGAGACUGGACACGCUGUCAAAUUAACUCAACACUGAUGCUGCAUUGAAAGUGAGAGUCCAUGUAAUGUGGAUACAAUUCAUUAAGUACACACAAAACAGUCAGCAACUAAUUUCAGUGAUGUGCAACAAAAUUCAUAUAACAUAGCCACCAAGUUGACCAUAAAAUCCAUCAAAACACAUUAAUGAGGAAUUCGUCUUACUUCAGUUUUGAAUUCCCCCGGCUUUUAAGUAUACAAGCCACAUUUUUACUGAAUUUUCUCUUCAAGUGCAGUAAAGUAGCUCAAAGAACAGAAAGCAAAGUUACAACUGACAACUACAUCGAGAAAGAGGCUACUAUGGACUGUCAAUUUUUACAUGUGAAUCCAAAAAUUAAGCUCGCAUAACAACGGGUAAUAUACCAAAUUCAUAUUAAAUUUUAGAUCAAACAACAUCAUUUAUCAUGCCAAAACAGUCUAGCUGUGCAACUUUUAAGCAAUUUGGAUACACUUAUAUCUAAAAAUUGGCUAAACUAUUGAUAAACGUACUAUCUAAUGCUGGAAAUAUGACAUAGUACAGUGAAUAUUGAUCAAUUUACUACCAUCGCUGCAUUUUGAUACUCCUUGAACAGAGAAACGGAUGGAAAUGGACCAGCCAAGCUACGCCUAAUUACACCAUCUCUAUCUUUUAACUACUUUUGUACUUGGCUUCCGAUUGACGCUCAGCUCAGGUAAAGCACAAGAACAAUUAGGAGUAAAUUGAAAUUGUAUAUUACCAGUGGUCAUAUACUCGGGAGUAGCACAACUGAAUUGUAUGGACAAAUCAUAAGAGGGCAACAGAAAUAUUGUUAAAACUUGUAGAAGACUAAAUUUUAAAGUAGUUUUAGAUACAGCAGCCAGCAAAAUGUUAGAUGAUUUGAAAUCCUGAUACAUAAUUUUAGCUUCUGGGCUGUGGAGAUAUGUCAGUCCUUUAGCUGCCUUGAGAGUAACCUUCAUUCGGAGAUUCUAUGAUAGCGGUUGGAAAUAAGCACUCCUCUGUUCAAGAUGUACCAAAGGUUUAUUCAAUGACAUUACACGGAUAAUAUUAGUGGAUGUCCUCAAAUUAGAUGUGGAUUCAAGAUUUCAAGUUUAUGGAUUUCUAUAAUGAACUAAGUUCAUAGUAAAAUAAAUUUCUUAUACAUGGUUUAGAAAAAACAAUUGGGUCCCCAUGAAUCUACAUAUCAUAUUGUGGAUCUGUUCUUGCGUUAAAUAUGCAGUUAUGGUUUCAUACAAACUAUACUUACUUCUGAAUAGAUGAUUUUCCAAACUUCCCCUCGGCAUGAAUUCGCACACCAGAAUCUUGUGUUCAUCUUCUAACCUGGCUCAGGUAAGCAAUUUUCGCCUGUAGUUUAAGUGUACAGAGAAAACAGUUAAUCAACUUAUCAAGAUCAAGAAUUAUAGGAAAGCUUCAAUGUCUUUGAUAAAACAAUCAUCGGAUAUUUUAAAGGGAAGAGUUUAUAUACCAAUCAUUCCUUGUGACCUUGAAAGCUUUCUUCAAGAAUUUCACUUUGACUUUGAGGAGUCAACUGAGCCGAUAAAUAUGAAUGUGAUCAUGGAAAUGAUGCCUAAUUAAUAUGUAUCUUUGUAUGUCUUCUGUCUGUUCCUAGUAAAAGUUGCACCAGUUUACAUCAAUUAAGUAAUAAACUGAAUAAGUUAUAACAUGACUAUCUUAUAGCUUAUUUCAAACUGAACACGUACAUCUUCAUUACGUUUUUUAAAAUUUAGUAGAAAUAGAAAUGUAUAAUGGUACCUGAUAAGCAAAUCAAAUUCGUGACUAUCUUCUUGGCUCAUUCGUUAUGGAUGAACUUGAAGUUUCAUAAUGAACUUACUUUCAGCAGGGUUAUAAGCAUCCAGAUCAUAAAAUUCUUCAGGGGCAAAUGGUAUAGGAACAAAUCUCUGAGCCAAUUUUGUAAUUCCCUCAAGGCGGUAACUAUUGAUUGAAAUCUGCAUUUUUCCAUAGCUUUCAGAUAAAUGAAUAAGAUGUGUUAAAAAUGGAGAUUGUUUGCUAUUUAUAUACCGAAACUUGCACUCUAUGAAAAAUAAAUAACUUAUCUUACAAAGAAUUCUUCAUGUUCAAAGAAAGUCUCCCGUGUCAUAUAAGCAAAUUAUAGUUUAUGUUUAUCUACAUAUACAUAUGUUAGUAUUCAACAUUAUAAUUCAACUGCAUAUCCAACUGGAAAAUUAAAUCAACUAAAGAGGGAGAAAUACUGGACUUUCCACAUAUGAGAAAGGGUUGUGAAAAUAGGGUAACUCUAAUAGCUAAUCCUUCCAGUUGAAAGUGUUUUUGAGAAAAAAAAUCAAAUUAAGUUCGAUGUACCUGAUAACGCUCAAUGUUCCCUGCAUGGCAUCUUCUCAAUUUCUUUCCUUUCCUUUCUUCUCCAAGUACUUGUAAAGUCCUAUUUAUGAAAAAUUAACAAAUUGAAAAAACACCCACAUCAAGAACAAAAGCGGAAGAAACACUACAUUUCAAUAAUCAAAAGCACAAAAAAUUGAAAUACAAAGCGGGACAACGGAGAAGAAGAGGAGUAAACGACCAUAACAACAACAUCCAAUCAAGUUUAGAUUCAGUACAUGCAACAUUACCACAACCUAAACACCAAAAUUGAUGAAUAAAAAAAAGUCGGAACUCAUCAAAUGAAAAAAUCGACAAAACAGAUCUAAAGUCAAAAGGCAAAACAAAAAUGAGAAGAAAGAAGGAAGGGAAGAAGCAGUGCAUACCUAGGAAGGUAUGCAAUUUAACUGAGAAUUUCAUAUGAGGGCUUGCAAAACCCUUCCAUUUUGCAGAGCAUUUUUUCUUGGGACAGAGAAUGGAUGCAGAGGAACAGGGAUAUAUCACAUAGCUAGGACACGUGUUUCACAGAUGAAUAUACAGAUACACAUUAGUUAGAAAGCAAUGAGUCAAAUUACCAAAUUAACCCUAUUGGUACAAUUAACUUGAAUUUUGGUACAACUUGUAUAUGUUGUGUUAGUCCGAACUCUUGUUGGCUGUAGAAGGACACGUGUAGCCCACGUGUUUAUUCAAUAGUGAAUAGGGCUUAAUGGUACAGUACAAUUUUUUAUACUAUUGGUACAACUUUGUAGAGCUGUGUUGGUACUCUUCUUGUUGGCUUAUAUAUAAGGGUAAAGAGCUGUGUUGGUACUCUUCUUGUUGGCUUAUAUAUAAGGGUAAAGAGCUGUGUUGGUACUCUUCUUGUUGGCUUAUAUAUAAGGGUAAAGAGCUGUGUUGGUACUCUUCUUGUUGGCUUAUAUAUAAGGGUAAAGAGCUGUGUUGGUACUCUUCUUGUUGGCUUAUAUAUAAGGGUAAUAUAUAUACUCCCUCCGUCCCAAUUUAUGUGGCACCCUUUAUUUAUAGUCUGUUCCAAAAAACAAUGUCAUCUUACUAUAAUUAGAAACAAGGGAAAAGACUCAAAUAUGUUAUUGAAAUUUGAGAAAAGACUCAUUUAUGUCGUCCGUUAAAAGUUUGGUUCAUCUAUGUCAUUUUCGUUUGAGAAAAAACUCAUCCAUAUCAUUAGUUGUAAACUAAAAAUAAUUUUGGUUUUGUAAGAUCAUUUUAUACACGUGGUCAAUUAUGAUUUGGCCAUGUCAUCAAUUAAAUCAUUUCUAUAGAAGAGAAAAGGUUCAAAUAUGUCAUCGAACUUUGAGAAAAACUCAUUUAUAACAUCCGUUAAAAGUUUGUCUCAUCUAUGCUAUUUCAGUUAAUAAAUAAUGGCAUGAAUGAGGUUUUUCUCAAAUGAAAAUGGCAUAGAUGAGCCAAUUUUUUAACGAAUGACAUAUAUGACCUUUCUCAAAGUUCGAUGGCAUAUUUGAGUUUUUUCACUAGAAACAAUUUCAUUUAAAAUUCACUGUUAUCCUUAAUGAAAUUAUUUACAAACACACAAAUAUCUAAGGAUUGUUUUAAAUCACAAGUUUAAAAGUCUUUUUUUAAAAAAAUAAAUAUAUCGUGUCAAGUUAAACAAUGCCACAUAAAAUGAGACGGAGAGAGUAAUUGUUAAUGCAAGAGGAAGCUGCUCGGGAAGUUACGUGUAUGAUGUUGAAGUUAUUUGACAUGCAAUUGAGGUGAUCCUAUAAUCUUCCAGUAGUUAUGACUAGUAAAAUCACUCAAUUUAUAAAAUAAUACUUAAAAUAUAUGAGUCAUUAAAACUAAAACACUAUAUUAUCUUACAUAUAAGAUUACAUAUAACAAACAUUAAUAAUGUAAGUAAAAAAAAAUUUGAAUAUGUUAACAAAUUUUUGAAUUUUUUCCUCAGACAUAUAUCACAAUUGUAAAAUCUAUGCAACUUAAAUGUGUUCUUGUUCUUACGAAACGCCUUUGUGUAUAUAUAUUCUUAUUUUAUUCUCUCUUUUUUUCCUUUUAAUGAUGAUUAAAUAACCAUUAAUUUAUUAUUUCCUGAAUAAUUCAUUCAUUAGAUGUUCUUGAGUUUAUGUGAUAAUGACAAAUAAUAGUAUAGAUUCUUUUAAGGAAUUUUUUACUGUACCUUCAACAAUUUCAUGAUCAGUAGAGAAAACUUGCAUGAAUACUCAAUUAACAUGUGUUGUUUAAUCUGUACUAACAAAUACUUAAAACAAUAACUUUGUAGAAACAUAAACACAAGUUUAAAACAUGUACUCAAAAACAAUAAUUAAUAACAUAAGCAUAAAUUAAUGAUUGUAAAAAAAUAUACCAGGAUCUGUAAUAAUAGGAUGAAACAGAAAGGAAAAAACUGUACACGAAUAUUUAAUUGUGCAGAUUAAGAAGAAGAAGUUCAAAAUUUUCGUUUUUUUAAAAUGAGAGGAAAUCACUCUAUUUAUAGCUAGACAACAAAGGGUAGUGUGAACAAAUGUUUAUUGUGCCUUAUCGAAAAGGUCACAACUCUUUGGAAAAGUUACAACUGUUUGGAAAGGUCAUAACCUUUCAUAAAAGACACAACUUUUCAUAAAAGUCGCAACUCUACAUAGAAGUUACAACUUUUCAUAAAAGUCGCAACUGUUCAUAUAAGUCGCAACUUUUCAUAAAAGUCACAACUUUUCAUUAAAGUAGCAAAUUUUUAUGAAAGGGGAAGGAUAGUUUUGUAAAUAUAUUAAUUAAAAAAGGAAUCAUGGUUUGUGAUGGCGCCACGUAGGCAGGCCUAGGAUUCUCUUUUAUAUAUAUAUAUGAUAUAUGAUAUGAUUAUUUACUGUGGUCGUUUUCUGAUAUGAUCACAAUAAGAUAUAACCGUCUAUUAUCUUUUAAACUUGUUUUUCUUUUUAGUUUGCAAUAUAUUUUGGAUUGGUAACAUUAGUAGUAUUAAAUUGUUAACAGCACUAGUUUGCAAUAUUUUUGGUUUCUACAAACAUUAUUUGCACAUAUUGAAAGAAAUAUAUAUGAUAUGGUUUCAUUGAAUUAUAUCCUCUACAUAAGCAGUGAAGACAAACAAAGUACUAAUGUUAUUUAAAUUGUCUCUAAAAUUUUGAUGAUUUAACAAACUUUGAGAUCUAACGAACGACCAGAUUCCAAGAGAGAUUGAGAGUUCCGUUUAUGAAAAAAACAGCGGUCUAAAAGCUGCAACACCUGCUGUGGUUGGUGCACGUAUUUUGCAGCAGACAUUCAGCCAAUAGCAGGGCAUUGCUUCAAGAGUUUGGGUCCAUCCUAUAAUACACCUCUUUGACAUUGACACAAACUCAAGUUUUUGCAAUAUAAAAAUUCACAACAGCAAAAGUCAUUCUCUCAGGGAAAUAUUUCUCGAUAAAUGAUAGAGUUAUCAUCGUUCUUAUGUGUUUUUAGGGCUUAUAUUUCUGUGCUUAUACUUGUAAGAUCUAUUCCUACGUUAUAAAGGAAUUAGAUCAUUUGAAGUUUUUUCUGAGUAUUCCGAGUUAUAUCUAGAGUUAGUUAUGUUGUAUUCUUGAAUUCUAGAUCAACUAUAGCUAGUUGAUUUAGUGGGUCAUAGAGUUAUUGCUUAGUUUUUGAGUAACAGAGUUGUUACUAUGAGGGGAAGGGAUUAAGAGUUUAAUUCCUAGGUUACAAGAGUUUGUAAUCUGAAGCUUUGCACUUUUGAUGAUAAUGGAGUUGGGUUAAAUCCUGUGAGACAGACCGUGGUUUUUUCCUCCCUUGAACAAGGGGCUUUCCACGUAAAACUCUUGUAUUUGUUUUAAUUUGUGUUAUUUAUUUUCCACACAAUUUUUCUUUCAAGGGACUUGGUCCAUUGACCGUUAGUGGACGCAUACAUUCUAUGAGUACUAAUAAGAUUGAAAAAGAAACCACUAAGAAAAAGUUAGGGUUAAAUCCAUCAAAUGGAAUCCUGGAGCCACCUCUUGAUGCUAAUAUUCUGGCCAAGAUCAGUAACAAAGAUAUAAUGUAAUCUGGUUUAACUAACCCUAAAGCUAGCUCAUCUCUGUGCAAUCUCAUAUAGGGCCCUAUUCAGGUGUGUCACAAUUAUGGUAGUAGCUAUAUGUGUCAUCUUUCUUCAAUUGUGUCUGUAAUGGUUUCAUGAACUGGAGUUCCAGGUUCUGUUGUAGAGAACCCUUCAGCAGCAGGGGAUGCUCCUAGUCCGUCGGAAAUUCUGAUUUCUGGGAUUUGCAAAGGAAGGUCAGGCAAUAUCUCAGGAGAAGCUUCACUUGCUGCGAGCAAUUUAGGUGCAUUGCUUUCAGAUGGCUUUUCUGACAUAGAAUUAGAGUUGUCUUUCUCUUCAUCAAAGACUUUUGCAAUUGCUGUAAGCUUCUGCCAUAUUGAAUCAUCAGUGGCUAAGAUUUCUCUAUUCUGAUUAAGGAAGUUGAGGAAGAAUAGGAGAAGAGCGAAGCCUGCUGAUACACCAGCUAUGAGGAAAAGUCCCUUAAACCUAUCUAACGUGAGGCUAUCAGAUGUUAUAGCCGUUUCAUCUUUCUGUGGACAAUCUGUUUCAUUCCCAAACCAUUUCUGUAUUAUGUUAUUCAUGAACUCUCCUUCCAUCACCUUCAAGACUGCUCUUGAGACGUCAGGUACCAAAGGAGAUCCUUUUGGAAAUGCCUGCAAUAAAAGAUUAGAUGAUUGAGUAAACAACAAAUCAUUCUAAAUAUAUGUUAACAGUGUCUGAAACAUCAGUGGAGUGUACAAUCUUACAAACCCAAAACCGGCAGCCUUGUAUGUCUGGCCGACCAUAACAUACUUCCUGCAGUACUUGUUGAGGAAGAGUCUGAGAUAAGGUAGUUCAUCAACAAUUGCACCUACACCUCCAUUUUUGCUUCCUCUUGAGAGGGCUUCAUCAUAUUCUUUCAAUGUGAUAUAACUUCUGAACUUGGAGCUGUCAAAUUUCAUGCGCUUUAUGAAGACAUCUUUGACAAAGGAACCUUCUUGGUACCCAACAUAUUCUCCAUUCUUGAUGAGAUCAUUGAGGUCUGUUAUAGUAGGUUGGAGCUGUUGCAGUGUCAACAUAGAUGUUAAGCUGGCUGUAUAACUUGAUGUCAGCACCAGAACCACAAAAACCCACACAAUCAGCAAAAAUCUUGUUAAGUUACUUGUUACCCUCUCUCCUGCAACAACCAGCCAUAACAUAUUCUCCAUUCUUGAUGAGAUCAUUGAGGUCUGUUAUAGUAGGUUGAAGCUGUUGCACUGUUAACAUAGAUGUUAAGCUGGCUGUAUAACUUGAUGUCAGCACCAGAACCACAAAAACCCACACAAUCAGCAAAAAUCUUGUUAAGUUACUUGUUACCCUCUCGGCUCGCUAAAAUGGUCACAUCACCUACAACUGCAUCAUAGUCCUGGCUCAAGCAAACAUUGAUUAUUCCAGUAUGUAUAGUUGAUUGUAAUAGCAGAAAAUAGAUAUCGAAGUCCCAAAAAGGACCAUGUUAGUAAGAUAUAGAGCCAAAGAGGUUUAUUGGAACAGAGAUUAUAUAUUACCUGAGAAGUGAUCUUGUGAACAAGAUCAUCAUAGUAUGGAAGAGUGAGGGGAUCUUGUAUUGGAGAUGGAAUAAAUUCGUAAGGGAGAGCAUAUGGCAAAGAUAGGAUGACUUCUUUGAAGACAUCUGCACAGAAACCAGUUGCUGUUACUGCUUGUGUUUUUGAAUCUCUUUCCACUUUAAUGAGUUGCUCCAGCCCUCCUUUGAGAGGAACUCCAACCCUUAACUUCUUCCCACUUGUGGGCAUUUCCCAGCCUCUUGGAACAAUAGUUGAUUCACCAGGCCAAAAAAUGGUUCCUAGUUGCUCAUUAUUACACUUAACUGCUGUUUUACCACUGUUUUACUAUUCAUCUUCAGUUUAUGCGAAAUGCCAUCCUUCUCUGUCCAGAAUCCAACGCUUCUCUCUCCUUUCCCAAUUAUAUUCACAAUCUGAUAUGGGAUUGGCUGCAGUUCUCCAUUGAUGAUACGGAAAUCACCACUUAAUCCUUGUUUUAGCACUGUGUUUCGCAUAGAGUCAAUGAGCAGAGAUCCCACUGCUGACGUUCCAAGUGCAUCUAAGUCUGUUAAGUUCUCUCUGGUGUCUGGUUUCUUUAAUUUUGGGAUAGCAGUAGUGCCCACUUUAUCUAUUGCUUCUGCUAAUGAGGUGAUGCUAUCGUAUGCCCAUAGCCCGAAAACAUUGAGUUCUAUUUGGUCCAUGUCUGGAUACUCUUGACGGAAUCUCUUUCUCCAUCUUUUCGUGUAAUUGUUAAGCUGAUUUGAUCUUGGAAUAUAAGGUUUUAUACCAAGAACACCUUGCAUUGAUGACUCAAUGACUGAAUGAUCUACUGAGUCCAGAAGACUCGUUAGCACAUCUGUGAUGAUCCAUGCAUAUCCACUGCUCAUCAUCCCGGCUUCUUUGGCCUUGAGAAAAAGGCGGGAGGCAAGAUAUGGUCGCAAGUGCACGACGAACACCCUGGUCUGCUUUGUAUUCAUAUUGUAUAACUCCUUGAGAAUUUGAUCAUCAUUGGCUGACGGAGAAAUAACACUUCUAUAGGAGACUAAAGUGCUGAUUUCCAGUAAGGCAUCAGUCAAAUGUGGAACUAUCCCGAACCCAUAGGGGCUAUCCUCAUAGAUGACCACAACCUCUCUCCAAUCAAAUUUUUUAACAAGUGCUGCAAUGGCCUUAGUCUGGCUGGAAGAAGGCAGUGCUGCUCUGAUGAAGAAGGGAUUUUCCUUGACUGUAAGUAAAGGACUUGUUGCUGGAGAAAUUAUAGGGACUUUUGUUCUGUUCCCUAAGUCAAUCACAAAAUCAGUUUGUGUUGACAUUUGUGGCCCAAAAAUAGCUUGUACUUGGACAUCCUUUAGCAAGUAUAUGGCUGCACAUACACAAUCAGACAAUAAGAAUUUACCCAAAGUAAGAGUUUAAUAGAAGUGAAUCAUGGAACUGAAUUUACCAGCAGAUGUUGCUUCAACAUCAUCUUUCUUGGAAUCCUUGAUAUGAGGAACUAUCCUUAUGGCACCGCGACUAGUGUUGGCAUGAUAAUCUUCAAGUGCUAGUAAGAUAGAUAUGUGCAUUACUUUUCCCUACAUCUGUUUCCUAGAUCAAGAAUUAUACCCACAUCCACCUUUACAGCACUAGUGUUAUUAUCUUCACCUCUUAUUGGAAUUACAUAGUGGUAAAAGCUAAUGAUGGAGAUAAGUUGAAUGAAAAGAAUUAGAAAGUGGCAUCUUGGAUUAUGCAUUUGAAAAAACUCUGGUAGCAAGUAGUCUGAGAGAUGGGCAACAAGCAGUUGUGCUUGUGCAAGAUAACCACACAUUCAGAAUGAUAAAUUUUCCUAUAAUUAAUAAGACCAAACUCCAUAAAUGCAGAAACAAAAGUCAAAGAACAAAUGGUUGAAAAUCAAGUAUUCG
RNAcentral lists this long non-coding RNA (65065 nucleotides) under Solanum tuberosum (potato). Its description in RNAcentral is "long non-coding RNA (STUB_LNC006715)". The record is from RNAcentral. Lineage: Eukaryota; Viridiplantae; Streptophyta; Magnoliopsida; Solanales; Solanaceae.